This 57958-nucleotide long non-coding RNA is filed under the name Gossypium barbadense (sea-island cotton). Its description in RNAcentral is "long non-coding RNA (GBAR_LNC016869)". Lineage: Eukaryota; Viridiplantae; Streptophyta; Magnoliopsida; Malvales; Malvaceae. The record is from RNAcentral.
AGGGAUUCAUGCAGCUGCAGAGCAUCAAUCUGCCAUCACUGUUCCAUAUCAAUCCAAAGAUAUUUGUGAUAUAUUUUUGUUCUAAGUGAAGGUUAGAGCCCCCUUCAUUUCACUACUACAUCAUGAUUAUUCAUUUGCCAAUGCUGCUUGCCACUACAUUUGGUUUGCUCUAAAUAAAGGUUAGUGCCCCCUUCACAUCACUACCACAUCUUAAUUACUCCCAUCCCUGUAAAUUGACGGAUUUUUCAUUUGUCGAUACUGUUUGUCAAUGCAUUUUGUUUGCUCUUAUUGUUGCUAAGAAGUUGAUAGUGAGCCUGGAACUUCCUGUAUAAAACUUGAGUAAUGCUAAGGUACGGAGUAGACGAAUCAGGUGUCGUAUUUGCAUUGUGUGAAAAUGUCUUCCUUUUUCCAAGACUCAGUUUUAUUACGACUAUGCGUCGUGCUCUAUCUGUUGUUUUAAAUGGGUACGAGGCUCCUAGCACUUUUAGAGAACUAGAACUCAAGUUCUGUCUUUGCCUUACCCCCAAUAGUUGCUUCUAGUUUUUUGUUCCAAAAAGAAAAGAAAAUAUCCUGAUGUAAACAAAGGCUUAAAUUCCUGAUGAAGUACUUAGGCUGAAUUUGAUUUAUUCAAUAGGCUGAAUUUGAUUUGAGAUAGUGAAUGUUAUUACUAAGUGAGCUAUUAGCUUGUUGAAACCAGUAAGAGAGUGGACAAAAUAUUACUUAAGAAUAUAACUCUAAUAAAUGGGAAUUACUUAGUCCUACAACUAGAGAAUUUUAAGUAGAGAAAAAGUAAUUAGUAGGGGACAAAAAUAUUUUGCCAUCCUAUUUUCGGUUUUGUAUCAUAUGUUUUCUUGGAAAGUAAGAAGGUUUGGGAGCGAUAAUUAUAUCUGUAUUUUUUUUUCCUCGUUUCUUUGAUUUUGUUCUUGCGUGCUCGACUGAUGAAGCUCCAACACAUAAGAAGUCAAAAAUGAAAAUGGUAUGAAUUACAUAUGAAGAUGAAUGCUGCAGACUGCAGAUGUAUAUCUGAAAAACCAUUAAUAGAUUAUGGAGAUCGUUUCUCCGAUGUGUUUGUUUUGUAGGAAGUUGUGAGUUAUAAUAAUAAUAAUAAUCUUACUCACUUUUCAUUGCUAUAAAUGGUCAUGGAAGCUUUUAUUAUUAUUAACAACAAUGUUGAUUUUUAGGGCUCAUUUGGUGCCUGUUGAUGUGGUCUGCUGAUGGAUAUGUGUGUAUAUAUUUUUAAUUAUUAAUUUUAUGGAUCAGAAUGAUUAUAUUAUAUAUCAAUCAAAUAUACUUUAAUUUUGGCUAAAGGGUAAAGAAAAGCCCCCAGACUUUUUCAAAAAAUCAAUGAAGCUCCCUGAACUUUUUUGUUUUCACUCAAUUGAGCCCUUGAACAUUUGAAUUAAAAUCAAUCAAUCAAGCCCUUUAACUCUUUUCAAUUUUCGCUGCAAUGAUAUAAAAUUAUAUUCUUAUUCUGAGAUUUUUUUCCCUCCCUUUUAGGCCUCAGUUGGAACGUGUUGGUGCAUGGAGUUGAGUCAAGACCCAUGUUGAUGGUGAAGAGAGACUUUGAAGAUGCCGUCAAUUAUUUUGGUUAAAACUUUGAAGUUGUUGAUGUAAUUGGGUGCUUCCUUUUUGGAUACCGAAAUAUUGACAAAAUUAAAACUGUAUAGUUUUGUGAUUUUGCACUUUAUUUAGUUCUUUUAAGGCCACCGCUCUUGCCCUUCAAAUAACACCCAUUAAGUGGUUUGAAUUAUUAUUUUUUAAAACUAAAUAAAUGUAUUUGAAAAUUAAAUUAAACAUUCGUGGUCAGAGGUGAAUUCAGGGGGUUGCCAGGGGAUCCCUAAAAUGGGAAAUUGUUAUUUUAGCCCUAUAAAAAAUUUUAAAAUCUUAAAAUAUUGAUGAGAGUGAAGUAUAGUGGUAAGUUUCAAAUUUCAGGUAAUUUUUCAUAUUAGCCCUAAAUAAUUUAAGAAAUUUGAAUUUUCUACUAAAUAAGCAUUUAACAAAUUGAUGGAUUUAGAAAUAAUAAUGAAGGUUAUAUUUGGAAGUAUAUUACUAUCCAAUUUAUAUAGCCUUUGGGAACUUAGCUUUAAAUUUUGGAUUUGAAUUUAAAUAUAUAUAUAUAUAUACAGAUUGAGUGAUUACAUAUAUUCAAAAUAUAACAUCCAUGAUUAUUUCCUAAAAACAAGAAUUUGUUGGAUUCCUACUAACUAGUAGAUUUGAGUUCCUAAGGUAUAUAUGAAUUUGACAAAUUCAUACUUUUUUAUACCAUUUUAAAUAUAUAUUAUAUUGAAAAAAUACAUUUAUAAAAAAAUAAUUUAAAGAACAUCAUAUUAGAGUAACAGAUUUAGGGGUGUUUAAAUUUCGGUUAAAAUUAAUCAGUCAGUUAACUAAUCUAAUUCGAUCAAAGAUUGGUUAAUACUUUUUUGAAAGCUCAGUUAUCGGUUAAUUUGGCUCGAAAGUGAGUAAUUAACUAAAUUAUUCGAACUUAAUAACUAAUAUAAUAUAUUAUAAGUAUUAGGCUUAGCCUACUGCCCACCUAAUCCUCAACCAGCGGCCCACCCCAGCACUACUAAGUCCUACCCAAUAUAAACCUAAUCUAGUAUAAUUUAUAAACCUAACCCAAUUUAAAGUAUUGGGACUGACUCCGUAACAUUCAUAAAAUACAAGUACUAAUAGAGAUAUUUAGCCGAUUAUUUUAACCUGAAAGUUUCAGGGAUGGACUUGCUCAAUUGGUUUGCAGACAAGUCUAGAUACAAAAGUUUGGACAUAAGUCUUGGUUCCAAGGGUACACUAUCAGAAAUUUUAUUCCCAUUCAAGCCAAGAUAAAGCAAAUAUGUCAACUUUUGCACAACCCCUAAUAAGAAGACACUACACAUUGAAAUUCAUUGUCAAGUCAACGAAUUUUAGGUUCGGGUAAACACUUAAAUAUUUAGAUAUAUUCCCUCUAUAUAUUUAGAUAUAUUCCCUCUAAGUAGGGGUGUUCAGUCGGUUAACCGACCUGAAAUAACAUUAAUCGAAUUAGCCGACCUUUCAAAAUUUUUGCCCUUUAACCGAACCAAAAUUUUUUCAAAAAAAUUAACCGAACCGAAAGUUUUUCGGAUAAUUCGGUCAGUUAACCGAAUUGACCGAAAAUUAUAUGUUUUUUAUUUUUGGUAAAAAAUUAACCGAAUUACCCGAAUCAACUGAAUAACAACACAGUUAACAUGAUUUACAAAGAUAAAAUCAAACAUAUUAUGCUUCACUUCCUGAAAAGACUAGCAUUUCCACAAGAGAACAUUGUAUUGGAUGGUAAACCAGAAGAAAUCAAUUAUUUUCUCUUAAAGAGGUAUUAUGCCAAUGGUGAUGAGUCUGUUCCUUUCCCACAGAAAUUGGACAGUUUCCACUGUAAUGCCCAAAUUUUUACCCGGCCCACAAUAAACAAAUAAAGUUCAGUUUUUACAAACCCAAUUACAGGACAAAAUACAUGGCCCGAUUUCAAACGGUGGCCCAGUUACAAACGCGACCCAAAAUAGAUGAAGGAACCCUAGGGUUUCUAAGGAUCAGCAGCGCCGCAACCAUGCCCUCCAAGCCACCAUUGUCCCCGACCUUCAUCUGCACACAAAAAAGGAAACAAACAGUAUAUGGAAAACAAAAUCGAAAGAUUUGCAAAUCAAAUCAAUAUAGGCAGAUUCGUUUUUUCAUAUAUUUUGAGAAUGGCUAUAAAAAGCCAUUAAACAUACUAUAAUCCGGAUCUUAAAAUCAAUAAAAAAGGCAUUUCCACAGCAAAUCGAGAGUCUAAUACAGAGAGCAAAUCGAUUAAAAGGUUGAUAUUUGCAAUUUUAUUUUUUCUAUUUGUUAUAUUUUUUAUUUUUUAUUCUACAUACAAAUAAAACACCAAAAACAAACAACAGGGAAGAAACGACCUGAGUGGUGCCUAGAACCGCCAUGCAUGACCGGAAGCCGAAAGGUUUCUCGGAGAUUUGGUAUUCUUUCAGUGGUAUUUUGAGGGUUUUGGGGCCGAAAAUGGGUUUUGGGGCUUCGGAGGAGCUGAAUCUAAAGUUUCCCCCUUUUUCGGCCACCGCAAGCGGUGGCGCCAACAUCGAAGAUCGGCGGCAUGCGCGGUGGCCGAUGACCGGCCGAUGCCGAACUUAGGCCGGAUGACUGAAGAGGGGGGAGAGUUUCUUGAAAGUUUUUUUGUUUUUUAAAAAAUGAAUGGGAAAUGAAAUUUUUUAUUUAAAUUUCGCUUAAAUAAGCCAAUCAAAAUGGCGCCGUUUGGAAGGAGGUGGGAUCCGCGCGUCAACCCGAUCCGAACCCAGGAUCAGCGCGUUUUUAUGCGGAGGGGCAAAUUACGUUUUUAGCCCCUCCGCCUUUUAAUACAUUCCCAAUUAAGUUUUUUUAUCUUUUAAAUUUGCCCCUUUAUUUAUUUGCGAUUUCAAUUAAGUUCCCUUUGAAUGGCGUCAUUUUAGAGGAGAAGGGGAAAUUUCCCUUCCAACCCCUCUAUGUAAUUCGCGCGUUCAAUUUAGUCCCUUUAUCUUUAUUUAUUUAUGGAUUUACCCCAGAUUUUUUUAUUUGCAGUUCAAUUUAAUUCUUUUUUCAUUUAUCUUAAAAUUAAUUAAUUUUAAUAAUGUAAUUACGAUUUUUUUAUAAUUUUCAUAUGUAAUUAUUUUUAUAUGUAUUUUUUUAUGUACAUAUUUAUUUUCAAACAAAUAUUUUUAUAUUUGUAUAUAUACAUAUUUGUUUUUGAUAAUGUAUUUAUUAUUUUUAAUCUAUAUAUAUAUAUCUAUAUUUUAAAAAAAUAAAUAUUCUUUUAUAUUUAUGAACACGUAUAUAUUUAUUUUUUUUCGAAAAUGCUUAAAUACCUACUUAUUUUAACAUAUAUUAUUUAUUUUCACCAAUGCAUUAUGUAUUUUGUUUAUAUAAAUUUUCUAAAUUCUAUAUAUAAAUUCAUGUGUAUUCUUAAUAGUUUUAAUGUAUAUGUCAUGUACCUUUUAUUCUUUAUUUUUUUAUUUUAUUUUGUUUUCAUUAUUUUCUUAUCUUGCUCGUUUAUUUAAUAUUUUGCAUGUCAUUAACUUUUUUCUCCCUUAUGUAUAUUUGUUUCAUUUACCUAUUUAUUCAUAUUAUUUCUAUGUCAUUGUUGUAUUUAUUAUUGCAUUUUUAUACUUAAUGUAGCAUCACAUCAUUGUUUUUUACUCAAUUUUAAGAUUUUCAAAAUUGAGAUGACACUCGUAUUUAGGAUUUUCAAGAAAAUUGAGCCCUAACGUAUUGGGUUCCGAUUUUCUUCGUUAAAUCCAACGAUCGAAGGUUGCUUAUUAAUAAAAAAUAAAAAGCUUGUUAUUGGGGAGUUAAAUAUGUUGUAUCCUAAUGUAUUGGAUGUGACGUAUUGAUUUCUCGAGACAAAGGUUUUUUUAAAAAAUGAUAAUAAAGGAAAUAUUCCAAGUUUGGGAUUUUGAGGAACUGUGCCCUAACGUAUUGGGCCGCGAUUUCUUAAAUCUUAAACAAAUGAAUAUUCUUUUAUUUUUUUUAUUACACGAGUUUUUGACUAACUCAUUGUGAAGAAAAUAAAAUGUUAUGCCCUAACGCAUUGGGUGUGAUAUUUUUCUGUUCAAAAUUAGAAGGUCUUAAUAAAUAAUUUAAUUUAAUUAAGCAUGCAUUUUUUACACUCUCGACUUCAAGACAUUAAUUAAUCAAUUUGGUACCAAUUUUUGGGCGUUACGAGGGUGCUAAUCCUUCCUCGAACGUAAUUGACUCCUGAAUCCGUUUUUCUAAAACUCGUAGACCAAAGCCGUUUUUUAGGUGAUCCAAUCACACCUUAAUAAAAGAUUGGUGGCGACUCCCAAUUUGUUUUUUUUUAAAGUCAACAACCUAAAAUUUUUGUUUUCAAAAAAUGGUUUUGACAGCUUGGCGACUCCACUGGGGACUUUUUAAAUAAGAGAGUCGAGCCACAAAGUUGAUUAAAUUUUGUCUUACGGUCAAAAAAAUAUUUUUUUUUAAAAAAAGGAAAAUUUUCAUGAGAUCCUUUUGCAUUCAUUGUUAUUAUUUCUUAAUUGGUUAUUUUUGCAUUAUACAUCACAUGAGUUGAAUGAUUUACCUUUCUAAGUGGGAGUGAGAAACUAUUCCUUCGUGAGGUUUUCACCUCCGUAUAGGAUAGUGGAUCGCUUUCAGAAUACAUCGGUACCUAUGCCUUCGUGAGAUUUUUCAUCUCCGUAUAGUCAUAGGGAAAAUGUAUUCCCCUGAACCGAACUUGAUCUAUAUGAGCCUAUAAUGGGUGAAGAUCGAGGAAUCUGCUGGUUCGGGUACCUUUGCCCUAGAAGCUGAACUUCAUAGAGUGAACCUUAGGAAUCCAUCCUAGGUAGAACUAUACUAAACCCUAGUAGAUAUCUGAUUAGGUAUUUUACUAUUUCUUGGUUAUAUUUUAUGUUUUUGUAUGAUACUGACUUUUUGUGUUUUAUUUUGAUUGCAUGACAUGGCAUUUCAUUUCAUCAUAAAAGGCGUCAGUCCAUAUUUAGUUGCUAGAUAGAAAGCUUAUCAUGGAAAAAGGGUUUCUUGAUAAAGUGGAGGAAAAUGCGGCUGUCCGAACUUGGUCUGAAACAACGCAGCAAGAAAAGGGUGAUAGUUUGGCUGAUGGGUACGUGUCGUAAUUAUGAGACUCUACGCGUAUCAAUGUAACUCAAAACAAUUUGCAAGAAUUGAAGGAGAUAUGGGAUCAGUGGAAUGACGAGGUUAUACAACUAUUCUAUGAUAAUUAUGGAGAUUUGCCUUAUUUGCUUGACGUAAAGGUAGACAAGCGUUUGUUUCGAGCCCUCGCCCAGUUUUGGAAUCCUACUUACAGCUGUUUUACAUUUGGGAAGGUUGAUUUGGUGCCUACGAUAGAAGAAUAUGUGGCUUUACUCUGAUGUUCAAAGUUUCAAGUAGACAGGGUCUACUCGAGAGCGAUAAAUGUGCCAACCUUUUCAAAGAAGCUGAUGAGUAUAACAGGGAUGAGUGAGCAGUGGGUCGCUGCACGGAUUAAGCAAAAGGGGGAUAGUAAGUGCAUUCCUUGGAGAAGCUUGAAGGAUGCAAUUCUCACACACCCAGACGUAAGAAAGAGGUUAGAUGUCUUUGCUUUAAGUAUAUAUGGCUUGGUUGUCUUCCCUAAAGCCUUGGGGCAUGUGGAUGAAGCAGUCACUGAUUUAUUCGACCGGCUAGAUAAGAAGGUUACACCGAUUUCAAUAAUUUUGGCAAAAACUUUCAAGUCAUUGAGUACAUGCCGAAAGACGGGUGAAGGUAGAUUUAUUGGAUGUGCACAGCUUCUACUCGCAUAGUUUCACAGUCACUUUUGGAAGGUGGAUAAAGUUUCGUAUCGUGUUUUCUCUGAAAAUUAUUCACCAUUAAAGGAGAUAGUUACUACGCCGAGGAGAGACGACAUUUCGGAGGAGAAGUGGAUAGCAAUUCUUCAAAAUCUUCAAGAGGAGGACGUUGAGUGGAGAGCCCCUUGGUUGCUUCCAGAUGAGAUCAUGAAUAGGUGUAGUAAUUUUGAUUGGGUUCCUUUGCUUGGUAUUUGGGGAGCUGUUGGAUAUGCCCCAUUAUUGGUGCUAAGGCAAUAUAGGUCAAGGCAAUUUAUACCUAUGACCCAAAGGAUAGCUGAUUGUGAAUUUUCGUAUAAAGAUGAUGGUUAUAGAAAGAAGAUUCAAGAGAUGUCUAGUGCGUAGAAACAGACUCACCGAAUGAAGAGGUUAGCUGUGGGUCCGAUGACAACUCCAGAGUAUAAUGAAUGGUGGGUUAGAAGUGUAAUACCCAAUUUUAGCCCGGGCUCACAUAUGGAAACAUAAUUUUUGAGGAUAUGCAAUCUUGUAUAUGAUAUGCAAUCCUAGAUAUGAUAUGCAAUCUUAGAUAUGAUAUAUGCAAUCUUAGAUAUGAUAUGCAAUAUUAGAUAUGAUGUAUAAUCUUAUAUAUGAUAUGCAGUCUUAGAAGAUAUGAUUUUGUAAUCUUAGAGAUACCCUUUAAUCUGAGCCGUUGAUGUAAUUGAUCUGUACCGUUGGAUUUGGGGAGGCUCAACUAUAAAUAGAGGCCUCUCCUUUCAUUGCAAAAGAGAGAGAGAAAAGAGGAAAGGGAGGAAUAAAAAAAGAGAAUGAUUGGCAGUUUUUUUAAAGGUGGCUUACUAUUUUUUUCGUUCGAUUAUUUUUUACUUAUUUAGGAUUUUAAAAAAGGAGAAGGUGAUACCACUGCGAAUUUUAUUUAUUUAUUUUAUUUAGCCCCUCCGCCUUUUAAUGUUUUUGUAAUUAAGUUUUUUUUUAUAUUUUUUUAAUUUACCCUUUUAUUUAUUUUAAAUUCCAAUUUGAUCCAUUUGAACGGUGCCGUUUUAGAGGAGAAGGGAAAAUUUGCCUUCCAGCCCCUCUAUGUAAUUCGCGCAUUCAAAUUAAUCCUUUUACUUUUAUUUAUUUGCAGAUUUACCCCAAUUUUUUUAUUGCAAUUCAAUUUAGUUUUUUUUCUUUUCUUUUUUUUGUUCUUUUCAUUUAUUUUAUUAAUUAAUAACGUAAUCAUUAUUUUUAUUUUUUUUAAAAAUCUAUACAUGUAUAUUUUUAUGCAGAUAUUUUUUAACUUAUAUUUUUCUCACAUUUCUAUAUAUAUAUGUACGUAUAUAUUUUUUUAAUGUACUCAUUGUUUAAUUGUUUUUUUUAUCUAUAUAUUUUCCUUUUAUAUGUACAUGUAUUUAUUUAUUUUUAACGAAUAUUUUUCCUAUAUUUUUUUAAAUGAAUAUUUUCAUUUUUAUAUGUAUAUAUUUAUGAUUUUUAAAAUGAUUAAAUACUCACUUUUCCUUUUAAAACACACCCCUUUUUAUUAUUUUAUAUAUGCACGUAUAAUUAUAUUUUUCUUUAUUUUCAUAAGUAUAUUAUGUAUUAUAUAUAUGUAUAAAUUCUAUAACCCAAAAUUUUAUUUAUAUUUUUAAUCUUCAUAACUUCCAUGUGUAUAUUAUAUGUCUUCUGAUCUUUAUUUAUUUUGUUUGUUUUUCCUCAUUCAUUGUAUAAUUAUGUUUACAUCUAAUAUUUUGCAUGUCAUGAAUUAUUAUUUUUUAUUUCGCCCAUUCAUUUGUCUAUAUUAUUUUUUAUGUCAUUGAUAUAUUUAUCAUUGUUGUAUUUAUCAUCAUAAAAUUUGUACAUAUAAUAUAACGUUACAUCAAUUUUUUUACUCAAAUUUAAAAAUAUAAAAUUUUUUAAAAUUGAGAUAAUGUUCGUAUUUAGGAUUUUCAAGGAAAUUGAGCCCUAACGUAUUGGGUUCCGAUUUUCUUCGUUAAAUCUAACAAUCGAGCAUUUCUAUUUAAUCAAAAAAUAAAAACUCAUUAUUGGGAAUUCAACACGUUGUGUCCUAACGUAUUGGAUGUGACGCAUUGAUUUCUCGAAAUGAAGAUUUUUUAAAAAUAAUAAAGGAAAUAUUCCGAGUUUGGGAUUUUAAAGAAAUUGUGCCCUAACGUAUUGGGUGUGAUUUCUUAAAUCUUGGAUAAGUGGAUGUUCUUUUAAAGUAAAGGAAAUAUUCCGAGCUUGGGAUUCUAGAGGAAUCGUGCCCUAACGUAUUGGGUGUGAUUUCUUAAAUCUUGGAUAAGUGGAUGUUCUUUUAAAAUUUUAUUGUACAAGUAUUUUGGCCCCAAUUCAUUCUUGGGGAAAAAUUAGAAUGCUGUGCCCUAAUGCAUUGGGUGUAGUAUUUUCUUUCUCUGAAAUAAUAAGGGUCUUAAUACGUAGCCUUUUAAGUUUUGCUAAGGAUUACAUUUUUCCAAAUUCUCGACCUUAAGACACUAAUUAAUUAACUAGGUACCAAUUUUGGGCGUUACGAGGGUGCUAAUCCUUCCUCGUACGUAACUGACUCCCGGAUCUGUUUUUCUAAAACUCGUAGACCAAAGCCAUUUUUAGGUGAUCCAAUCACACCUCAAUAAAAGAUUGGUGGCGACUCCCAAAUUUUCAUUUUUUUUAAAGUCGGCAACCUAAAGUUUUUGUUUUUAAAAAAUGGUUUCGACAGCUUGGCGACUCCACUGGGGAAAUUUUUUUUUAAAAAAAAGAAGAGAGUCGAGCCACAAAGUUGAUUAAUUUUUGUCUUACGGUCGAGAAAAAUAUUUUUUUAAAAAAUCAUAACAUCCUUUCGCAUUGAUUAUCUUAUUCCUUAAAUAUUGUUUGCAUUAUACAUUUCAUGAGUUGAACAUUUUUACCCUUUUAAGUAGGAGUUGAAAAAAAUUUGGAAUCAAUGGAAUAAUGAGGCUAGGCAGUUAUUUUACAACAAUUAUGGGGACUUGCCUUAUUUGCUUGUUGUGAAGGUAGACAAACAUUUGUUUCGAGCCCUCGCCCAGUUUUGGAAUCCUGCUUACAGUUGCUUCACGUUUGGGAAUGUCGAUUUGGUACCUACGAUAGAAAAAUAUGUGGCUUUAUUCCGAUGUUCAAAGUUUCAAGUGGAUAGAGUUUACUCGAGAGCGGUAAAUGUGCCAACAUUUUCAAAGAAGCUGAUAGGUAUAACAAGGAUGAGUGAGCAGUGGGUCACUGCACGAGUUAAGCAAAAGGGGGACAGCAAGUGCAUUCCUUGGAAGAACUAGAAACAGUGCUGCAAAAUUAUGAGAUCUAGAUCAAGCGCUUGAAAGCAAAUGAAAGUAGUAAUAAUGAACAGCUCCACCACUUUUAGAGUCAUGUUAGGAGUAGAGAUCAUCUUAUGAAGGAAGCUGUGGUCCAAAUUCGAGAAGUAGCUGAUUACGUACAGAUUUUAGCAGUACAUGCUGACAUGCUAAGUAUGAAGUAUGAAUUAGAAUCGGAUCGGGGGCAAGAAUUAGUUUUGUUACUUAGGAAGAUCAAAGUUCUGGGUACUAGGGCAAAGUCUUAUUUGUAAUUCGCUUUAUGUAAAGAAAUUUGCUUUCUAGUAAGGUUUUCUUAUAUGGAAUUGAAUCAAAAUUGACGUCUUUUUUGCAUUCAUGCAUUGCAUUACUUCAUAUGCAUUUAAAAACAUUAAAAGAUUCUAAUUAAUUUACAUCAUUCCUCAGUUAAUCUGGAAACCAACCAGCCUACUAAACACCGCUACGAUACUCGAUCAAAAACUAAGGAUAUGGAUCAAAGGAUGGAAAGACUAGAACAAUCCCAAAAGGAAAUGCAGGAGCAGCUUCAAAAGAAAAUGAAUGAACAGCAAAAAAUGAUAGACAAAAUGAUGGAAUCUUAGGGGAGUAUGAUGGCUCAGUUAACUCAAUGGUUCAACAAAGGAACUGGUAAAGGAAAAGGCUCCAUGCUCAAUAUUGAAGAAGGAGACAAUGAGAGACCUGUCUAUCCUCCGGACUUUACCCCCAACAAAUUGAGAUAUACCCGCGUAGGUCCUCUGUUACCAUUAAUCCUCCGGGUGACGUUGCGACACCAAUGAACUUUCAAGCUAGAUCAGGCUCUAACCCUGGAGACAACAUUGCUAAUCCCGCUAUCCCUGACUUUGAUGAGACAGUUGAGAAAAUGAAUGGUAAAUUGCCAAAACAGCUCGAAGAAAAGUACAAAUGGUUGGAGGAAAAACUUAGAGCGAUGUAAAGUACUGAGGGCUACCAUGGAAUUGACGCUAAAGAAUUGAGCUUGGUUCCAGAUUUAGUACUCCCUUAUAAAUUCAAAAUGCCUGAGUUUGAGAAGUACAAUGGAACUAGUAGCCCUGAAGCUCAUGUUACUAUGUUCUGCAGACGGAUGACUGGGUAUGUUAAUAAUGACCAACUGCUGAAACAUUGUUUCAAGGAUAGCCUCGCAGGGGCAGCAUCCAAGUGGUACAAUCAAUUGAGCCGUACCCAGAUCAAUUCAUGGAGAAAUCUAGCACAUGCGUUUUUAAAACAGUAUAGCCAUGUGACUGACAUGGUACCUGAUAGAAUUACUCUUCAGAAUAUGGAGAAGAAGCCUGGUGAAAGUUUCAGGCAAUACACAUAGAGAUGGAGGGAGGUUGCUGUCCAAGUUCAGCCAUCUCUUCUAGAAAGAGAGAUGACGAUGCUUUUCGUUAUUACAUUGAAGGCCCCAUUCAUCACACAUAUGUUAGGGAGUGCAACAAAAAGCUUUUCUGACAUAAUCAUGAAUGGUGAAAUGAUUGAAAGCGCCAUAAGGAGCGGAAAGAUUGAUGCUAGAGGAAAUAACAAAAGGCAAGCCUCAAAAGAAAAGGGAAAUGAGGUGAACAGCGUGAAUACGAACAACAAAUCGAUUGCUAAUCAACAGGGUUCAUCAAGACAAGAAUUAGGUGUGAAGCCAGGUACUGAAAAGCUCUAGUUCACGCCAAUUUCAAUGUCGUACAAGGAGCUGUAUCAAAACUUAUUCAAUGCGCAUGUUGUUUCUCCCUUACAUGUGAAGCCUCCACAGCCCCCGUAUCCAAGAUGGUAUAAUGCAAGUGCACAAUGUGAUUAUCAUACAGGAAUUACGGGGCAUUCUAUAGAAAAUUACAUUACCUUUAAAAAUGAGGUUGAAAGGCUUAUCAAUAUGGGCCUUGUCAAAUUUGGCGAUUCAUCCAGUGCAAAAAAUUCGCUACCCAAUCACAUUUGAUAAUGGAGGGUGAAUGGGAUGUAUGAAGAAAUGUUGAAAGGUGUUCACAUCAAUGUCAUUUUUGAAGACACAAUUUACAAGGGUCCUUGAAGAUAUUCGCCCUUAUCAACUUAGAAGUGUUCUAAGUAAUUGAACUGCGAAAGAAAUCUCUGUAGUUUUUUAGAGCUUAUUUAGAGUAAUGUUCAGAACAAUUUUGUUAUUUUCAGCCUAAAAAUGAUAAAAGUUCCUUUGUGAAAUAGGCUCGUGUCUGAACGUCAUUUUUCUAAUAAAAUACAUCUUUGCAGUCAUUUUGAGCCAAUAUAUUUUAUUCUUUUUAAAUAAUUAUAUUUUCAUUCUUUCGGAUCUUCUUUCAUAUUAUUCUUUUAUUCAUUCAUAGUUGUACAAACGAUUAUUCAUACAUUCUUUUGUAUAUUCUUUGGUAUUUACUGUAGGUCCCCAGAUAUCAAUGACAUGAGUGAUGCUGUUACGGACUCAGAAGUUCCUUUUGAGUGGGAUUUGUGUUUAGAGGGAUCUCAUGACUUUAAAGAUGACAUAGAUUGUAGCCUAUUUUCAGACUUGUUGAGGAUGGUAGAACAGGAAUGAAAUCUUACUUCAUGAGGGGACAAUGGAGAGUGUGACCUUAAGAUAACGAGCAUAACCGAAGAAAUGAAGCAUGACCUUGUUGAGUUACUUCAAAAAGUUCAAAGAUGUCUUCAUAUGGUCAUAUCAGAAUAUGCUUGAGUAAGCACCGACAUUGUAAUCGGAACAACAAUACGAUAUCAAGAAUUUACAGUAUGUUCAAGAUUAACAUCAUGAAUGAUGCAUUUAGAAUUCUUUGUCGGGGCAAUGCCUUCUCCUUUGGCUCAUCAUGGUUUAGCCUGUCGAAGUCAAGUUGUCAUUUCUCCGUUGUUGGAUUUCAUCCUAAUUGAAGAGAAAGAUCCAAAGUUUUCGUCAUAGUUAAAUUUUACCCCAAAAUGCUCUAUGAAAGAAAUCUGAUCACAAAGAAGAUCUUACAUUGGUUCUGAUCGAAAGGGAUAACGAGGACUUGUCUAAUCCUAUGAGUUUAGAUUCAAAAAAAACAAAAAACAAAAAAACAAAAAAACAAAAAAAAAAGAAAAAAUGAAAGUGAUAAAAAGAAAAUAGAGAGGCCAAGGUGAAAACCCGCAAAGGGCACCUUGAGACCAAAGGGGAUUUGAGUUGAAAACCCGAAAAGGGCGGCUCAAAUAUUGAUCAGAAUGAGGCACAAGGUGAUCAGAGCAACUCGAAUUCUAACCAGAUUGGGGCAUGUGGUGAUCUUGUUAUACCUGAAUUAUCAGGAAAGGGUAGGCAACAUCUUGAGGUAUUGGUAGAGUACUGUGGAUCUCCUAAACACAUGUCAAACUCAGAAGGAUCUUCAAAAAGUUUGUACAGAGAAGUUCAAGCUGCGAUAUCUAGGGCACCCAAUUUGUAUACUAUUGAAUUUGUUAUUCUUGGAAUACUUCAUUCAUUUCAAAUAUAUAUGUUCCCAAUCAAUUUCUUUGUUAUCCUUAUUUUUGAUAAUCUAUUCCUUUCGAGCUAUGCUUAGAACUAAUUGUAUUCUCAUUUAUUGUUAUACCCUUUUUUUUUGCAAACAUGUUGCAUUGGAAUAAUGAUUAAUGGAGUAAUGAAACUUUCACAAGGGAAGUUUUGCAUAUUACUCUAGAAGUUUCUAAAUAGUACAGGAACCUAAAACAAGACUGUUGUUUAGAACACACCAUGUUUAAAGGUUGGAAAUUUGAAAAGGAAUAGUCUAAAUUAGGACUUUCUCUUUGGAUCUUAUUAUCAAAAACAUUGAUGAUAAGAUGUCGUGUUGACGACAAGGCUUAAAUAAACAAGCAAGCAAUGAUCACAAUCAAUAGAAAGAGGUUUCCUCAAAGAAGAAAGCCUUCAUUUGUGCGUGAGCCUUUGGUACGACACCCUGGGAAUGGUGUAAAGGACUAAGGAGUUUCACAUUCUGUAUCCUUGAAUUACAAUAGGAAAGGAUUGAGAGAAAGCCAGAUUUUUCUACCCUUGGAUCACAACGAGAGAAGGAUGGUUCAAAUUUUGUGUCCUAGAGGAUUGAACUUUGAACUUCAUAGUGGGGGCAAUUUGAUUAAGUGUUUCAUUGGAGAUGCCAGCCAAGAAGGAAAGUGUUGAAGACAAGACCUUAAUAAACUUCGAGCAAUGAUAACCUAAGUGAUAAAAAAAGACCAUUCUAAAAAAAACAUUCUACAUACAUGUCUAGUUAGGAGCAUUUGAUUCAUUUUGAUCAUGUCAUCCUAAUCAUUAGGCAUAGUUAGGUUCAUUAUAUAGGUCAUGCUCCACAGAGAACAAAUCAGUGAAAGAGCAGAUCUUACCUUCCUACAUUAACAGUGGAGCAGAUCAAAGACGGUGAAUCUUAUUUUUCCAAGAUAGUGGGAAGCAGAUUUAAGCCACCAAGCCUUGUCUCCCUAAGCAGCAACGAAGAAGGUUGAAGAUUGUAAAUCUUAUCUCCCUAAGCAGUAGUGGAGUAGAUCGAAGACGGUGAAUCUUAUCUUUCCAAGAUAGUGGGAAGCAGAUUUAAGCCACCAAGCCUUGUCUCCCUGAGCAGCAGCGAAGAAGGUUGAAGCUUGUAGAUCUUAUCUCCCUAAGCAGUAGUGGAGCAGAUCGAAGACGGCGAAUCUUAUCUUUCCAAGAUAGUGGGAAGCAGAUUUAAGCCACCAAGCCUUGUCUCCCUCAGCAGCAGCGGAGAAGGUUAAAAAUUGUAGAUCUUAUCUCCCUAAGCAGUAGUGGAGCAGAUUGAAGACGGUGAAUCUUAUCUUUCCAAGAUAGUGGGAAGCAGAUUUAAGCCACCAAGCCUUGUCUCCCUAAGUAGCAGCGGAGAAGGUUGAAGAUUGUAAAUCUUAUUUCCCUAAGCAGUAGUGGAGUAGAUCGAAGACGGCGAAUCUUAUCUUUCCAAAAUAGUGGGAAAUAGAUUUAAGCCACCAAGCCUUAUCUCCCUGAGCAGUAGCAGAGAAGGUUGAAGAUUAUAGAUUUUAUCUCCCUAAAGUUACAGUGGACCAGAUUAAAGCCGAUAGUCCUAUCUCCCUGAAGUUGUGGUGGAGCGAAUUAAAACCUCAGAUCUUAUCUCUCUGAAGUUGCAGAGAGCAGAUCGCAUCUAGUCUUAUCUCCCUGAAGUUGCAGUGGAGCAGACUAAGUAAGCAAGUCUUAUCCUCCUAAAGCUGCAGUGGGGCAGACUGAAGAUGGCAAGUCUUAUCUCCCUGAAGUUGCAAUGGAGUAGAUUAAAGCCGAUAAUCCUAUCUCCCUAAAGUUGCAUUGGAGCGGAUUAGAACCUCAGAUCUUAUCUCUCUGAAGUUGCAGAGAGCAGAUCGCAUCUAGUCUUAUCUCCCUGAAGUUGCAGUGGAGCAGACUAAGUAAGCAAGUCUUAUCCUCCUGAAGUUGCAGUGGGGCAGACUGAAGAUGACAAGUCUUAUCUCCCUGAAGUUGUAGUGGAGCAGAUUAAAGCCGAUAAUCCUAUCUCCCUAAAGUUGCAGUGGAGUGGAUUAAAACCUUAAAUCUUAUCUCUCUAAAGUUGCAGAGAGCAGAUCGCAUCAAAUCUUAUCUCCCUGAAGUUGCAGUGGAGCAGACUAAGUAAGUAAGUCUUAUCCUCCUGAAGUUGCAGUGGGGCAGACUGAAGAUGGCAAUUCUUAUCUUCCUAAAGUUGCAGUGGAGUAGAUUAAAGCCGAUAAUCUUAUCUCUUUGAAGUUGCAGUGGAGCGGAUUAAAACCUUAGAUCUUAUCUCUUUGAAGUUGCAGAGAACAGAUCGCAUCUAGUCUUAUCUCACUGAAGUUGCAGUGAAGCAUACUAAAUAAGCAAGUCUUAUCCUCCUGAAGUUGCAGUGAGGCGGACUGAAGAUGGCACUAAUUCCUAUACUUCUAAAGAUGUACCAAGGUUCAGCACGACCGGGCAAAAUUGGGCAUUUUUAAAGUCUUUGCUCCAUUCCUGUUACACGACAACGAGCAAAGACGGGCAGCUGUAAUACCCAAUUUUAGCCCGGGCUCACAUAUGGAAACAUAAUUUUUGAGGAUAUGCAAUCUUAUAUAUGAUAUGCAAUCUUAGAUAUGAUAUAUGCAAUCUUAGAUAUGAUAUGCAAUCUUAGAUAUGAUGUAUAAUCUUAGAUAUGAUAUGCAAUCUUAGAAGAUAUGAUUUUGUAAUCUUAGAUAUACCCUUUAAUCUCAGCUGUUGAUGUAAUUGAUCUGUACCGUUGGAUUUGGGGAGGCUCAACUAUAAAUAGAGGCCUCUCCCUUCAUUGCAAAAGAGAGAGAGAAAAGAGGAAAAAGAGGAACAAAAAAAGAGAACGAUUAGCAGUUUUUUUAAAGGUGGCUUACUAUUUUUUUUCGUUCGAUUAUUUUUUACUUAUUUAGGAUUUUAAAAAAGGAGAAGGUGAUACCAUUGCGAAUUUUAUUUAUUUAUUUUAUUUAGCCCCUCCACCUUUUAAUGUUUUUGUAAUUAAGUUUUUUUAUAUUUUUUUAAUUUACCCUUUUAUUUAUUUUAAAUUCUAAUUUGAUCUAUUUGAACGGCGCCGUUUUAGAGGAGAAGGGAAAAUUUCCCUUCCAGCCCCUCUAUGUAAUUCGCGCAUUCAAAUUAAUCCUUUUACUUUUAUUUAUUUGCAGAUUUACCCCAGUUUUUUUAUUGCAAUUCAAUUUAGUUUCUUUUCUUUCCUUUUUUUUUGUUCUUUUCAUUUAUUUUAUUAAUUAAUAAUGUAAUCAUUAUUUUUAUUUUUAUUUUUUUUAAAAAUCUAUACAUGUAUAUUUUUAUGCACAUAUUUUUUUUAACUUAUAUUUUUCUCACAUUUCUAGAUAUAUAUAUGUACGUAUAUAUAUUUUUUUAAUGUACUCAUUGUUUAAUUGUUUUUUAUCUAUAUAUAUUCCUUUUAUAUGUACGUGUAUAUAUUUAUUUUUAACGAAUAUUUUUCCUAUAUUUUUUUAAAUGAAUAUUUUCAUCUUUAUAUGUAUAUAUUUAUGAUUUUUAAAAUGAUUAAAUACUCACUUUUCCUUUUAAAACACACCCCUUUUUAUUAUUUUAUAUAUGUACGUAUAAUUAUAUUUUUCUUUAUUUUCAUAAGUAUAUUAUGUAUUAUAUAUAUGUAUAAAUUCUAUAACCCAAAAUUUUAUUUAUAUUUUUAAUCUUCAUAACUUCCAUGUGUAUAUUAUAUGUCUUCUGAUCUUUAUUUAUUUUGUUUGUUUUUCCUCAUUCAUGGUAUAAUUAUGUUUACAUCUAAUAUUUUGCAUGUCAUGAAUUAUUAUUUUUUAUUUCGCCCAUUCAUUUGUCUAUAUUAUUUUUUAUGUCAUUGAUAUAUUUAUCAUUGUUGUAUUUAUCAUCAUAACAUUUGUACAUAUAAUAUAACGUUACAUCAAUUUUUUUUACUCAAAUUUAAAAAUAUAAUUUUUUUUAAAAUUGAGAUAAUGUUUGUAUUUAGGAUUUUCAAGGUAAUUGAGCCCUAACGUAUUGGGUUCCGAUUUUCUUCGUUAAAUCUAACAAUCGAGCAUUUCUCUUUAAUCAAAAAAUAAAAAGUCAUUAUUGGGAAUUCAACAUGUUGUGUCCUAACAUAUAGGAUGUGACGUAUUGAUUUCUCGAAAUGAAGAUUUUUUAAAAAUAAUAAAGGAAAUAUUCCGAGUUUGGGAUUUUAAAGGAAUUGUGCCAUAACGUAUUGGGUGUGAUUUCUUAAAUCUUGGAUAAGUGGAUGUUCUUUUAAAGUAAAGGAAAUAUUCCGAGCUUGGGAUUCUAGAGGAAUCGUGCCCUAACGUAUUGGGUGUGAUUUCUUAAAUCUUGGAUAAGUGGAUGUUCUUUUAAAGUUUUAUUGUACAAGUAUUUUGGCCCCAAUUCAUUCUUGGGGAAAAAUUAGAAUGCUGUGCCCUAACGCAUUGGGUGUAGUAUCUUCUUUCUCUGAAAUAAUAAGGGUCUUAAUACGUAGCCUUUUAAGUUUUGCUAAGGAUUACAUUUUUCCAAAUUCUCGACCUUAAGACACUAAUUAAUUAACUAGGUACCAAUUUUGGGCGUUACAAGGGUGCUAAUCCUUCCUCGUACGUAACUGACUCUCGGAUCUGUUUUUCUAAAACUCGUAGACCAAAGCCGUUUUUAGGCGAUCCAAUCACACCUCAAUAAAAGAUUGGUGGCGACUCCCAAAUUUUCAUUUUUUUUAAAGUCGACAACCUAAAGUCUUUGUUUUUAAAAAAUGGUUUCGACAAGGAGGGUCACCGAUAAUAUACCCAUGAUAAGUCAAGAAAACAGCCAGUCAAUAGAGGAAUAUUUUUGAGUCGUCCCUUCUGAGUUGGAAAUCAUAAGACAAGAUUUUGAGAAAAGAAAUACAGAUUUAGAGAAAAAGAUAGAGCAAAUGGAGGAGGAAAAGACGAACUUGAGAUCGGACAUAGGCGUUAAAAAGCUCAAAAUAGAAAAAUUAAGGAAAAAGAAAAAUAAGGCUGAGGAAGAGUUGGAUAGCUUGAGGAUAGAUUAUAAAAAGUUACGUCGGUGAAUGAGAACUGUCGGGCUAGGGAAAACCUCAGAACAGUAGCAUGAAGAAAUUCGAGAAGAAAAGGACAAAGUUGAUAGAUGGGAACAGAAAUUCCAAGAGGUUCAAACAUUCAAUGAGGCUUUAGAGAAAAGUUUGUCAGAAAGCCAAAAGGAAAAAAGCGAGUUAAAGGACAGGGUGAUUGAGUUGGAAAAGUCACUUCGUUAGUAUCGAAAUCAAAACCCUGCAAUAGAAUUGAGAGCAAGCCUGAACAAGAUUAAAGAAAUGAGGAAAAGAAUAGAAGAGUUAGAGACGGUAAUGCAAAAUUGUGAGAUCUAGUUUAAGUACUUAGAAGCAAGUGACAGUCGUAACAAGGACUAGCUUUACUACUUUCAGAAUCAAGUUAGGAGCAGAGAUCAUAUCAUGGAGGAAGCUGUGGUCCAAAUUCGAGAAGUAGUUGAUUACAUAUAGACUUUAGCAGUGCAGGCUGACAUGCUGAGUGUGAAGUAUGAAUUAGAAUCAGAUCAGGGGCAAGAGUUGGCGUUGUUACUUAGGAAGAUUAGAAUUCUGAGUAAUAGGGCAAAGCUUUAUUUGUAAUUCACUUUGUGUAAAGAAAUUUACUUUCUAGUAAAGUUUUCUUAUAUGGAAUUGAAUCAAAAUUGACGCCUUUUAUUGCAUUCAUGCAUUGCAUUACUUCAUAUGUAUUAACAAAUAUUAAAAGAUUCUAAUUAAUAUAAAUCAUUCCUCAGUUAAUCUGGAAAUCGACCAACCAACCAAACACCGUUAUAGUACCCGAGCAAAGUCAGGAGGCAUGGACCAAAGAUUGGAGAGAAUAGAGCAAAUGCAAAUACAGAUGCAAGAGCAAUUGACUAAAUUUCAACAAGAAAUGAGGAAUCAAAUGCUAGAAUUCCAAAUAAAUAUGAUAAGCCAGCUAACCCGGUUAUUGGGUAAAGGGGUAGAAAAAGGGAAAAGCCCAGCGGCUCACUUUGGGAUGAUAAUGAGGAUCCUAUAUAUUCCCCAGAUUUUACCUCGAUAAGUGUCCAGGCCCAGCCAGACGCAUGUCCACAUGAGGCACUCUUUGCUAUCAGAUCCUGAUAAUGUCUGACUGGUACAUCGACACCAGUAUAUCGUCUGACAGACCCAGAAUCCAAUUUAGCUAAUCCUGUUGCUAUUGACAAUCCAGCAGAAAUAAAACAUGUAACGUAGAGCUUCCAGAUACUGUGAAAGCCUCAAGGAAGAGGGGAAAUAAGGGGAAUAAUGAAGGCAGAUAUAACAAGGGCCACUCAAAACCAAUCACUAUGGGCCGGUCACAGACAAAAACCACUAGCCAUCAAGGCCCUUUAAAGCAAGAACCUUACAUGAUGACAAAUAUGGGAAGGCUUCAGUUCACGCCUAUACCGAUGUCAUAUAGAGAGCUAUAUCAAGGUUUAUUUGAUGCACAUGUGGUAUCCCCUUUCUAUUUAAAACCUCCACAACCUCCGUAUCCCAAGUGGUAUGAUGCAAGCGCACAAUGUGAUUACCAUGCGGGAAUUACGGGGCACUUAAUAGAGAAUUGCAUUACCUUCAAAAAGCUGGUUGAAAAAUUCAUCAACAUGGGUAUUGUCAAGUUGGAUGACUCAUCUAAUGCAGGAAAUUCGCUACCCAAUCAUGAUUGAUAAUAGUGUGAAUGCAAUAUAUGAAGAGGUGUUGAGAAGUGUUCACAUACGAAGACACAAUUGAAAAAGGACAUUGUUAGAUGUCUGCCCUUAUAAAUUUGAGAGUGUUCUAAAUAAUUGGAUUGCGAAAGAAAUCUCUAUAGUCUUUAGAGCUUAUUUAGAGUAAUGUUCAGAACAUUCUUAUUGUUUUUAGCCUAAAAAUGAUAGGAAUUCCUUUGUGAAAUAGACUCAUGUCUAAACAUCAUUAUUCUAAUAAAAUACUUCUUUGCAUUUAUUUUGGAGCCAAUAUUCUUUCAUUCUUUGCAAGUAAUUAUGCUUUCAUUAUUUUGGACUUUCUUCCACAUUAUUCUUUCAUUCAUAAUUAUUGUACAGAUAAUCUUUCAUAAAUUCACACAUUCUUUUGUAUAUUCUUUUGCACUUACUAUGGGUCCCCAGAUAUCGAUAACAUGAGUGACACUGCUACAGACUUAGAAUCUCCUUUUGAGCGAGAUAUAUGUUUAGAGGGAUCUCAUUACUUUGAAGAUGACAUAGAUCGUAGCCUGUUUCUGAACUUGUUAAGGAUGGUAGAACAAGUCAAGAAAUAGAUCUUACCUUACAAAGAGUCAUUGGGAUCACUGACUUCUCCUUAUAUGGGGCAUGAAGGUCAGUUGGUCGAUCUCGCCAAAAGAGUCUGACGGUCAUUGAUUCAUCUUUGUGGUCGUCAAUUACUUUACUACAUGGGUGGAAGCUGCCUCGUAUGCCAAUGUCAUAAAGUCGAAAGUCAGCAAAUUCUUGAAGAAUCAUAUGUUAGUAUGGAACGCCAAAAGGAUCAUAUCUGACAAUGUACUAAAUUUGAACAACAGCACAAUAUCAAAAGUUUGCAGUCUGUUCACGAUUAAUGCCAUAUCGUUGAAAAAGGAUGGAGCAAAAAAAAAAACUCUGUCAGCGCGAUACCUUUCUCUUGCGCUCAUCGCAGGUUUGCCUAUUGAAGAUAACAUUCUUUCUCUCUGAGUUUUUGGAUCCAAUACCGAUUGAAGAGGAAUGUUCAAAGUUAUCUAUCAUGGUCAAAUACGCCAAAAGUAAAUGAUGCGAGCUCACAAAAAGGUCCACCCUAAAGAAUUCCUUGAGAGGGACUUGGUAUUGAAGAAGAUCCUUUCCAUACAAAAAGAACUUCAUCCCAAGCUGGGAAAGACCUUAUGUGGAAGGCAUUAUCCGAAAAAGCGUUGAUCAGAAGGUAUAACAAGGACAUGCCUAAUCCUAUGAGUUCAGAUUCAAUAAAAAAUAUUUCAAAAAAAAAAGCAAAAAAGAGAGGCCAAGGUGAAAAUCCGCAAAGGACGCCUUGAGACCAAAGGGGAUUUGAGUUGAAAACCUGAAAAGGGCGGCUCAAAUAUUGAUCAAAAUAAGGCAUGAGGUGAUCAGAGCAACUUGAAUCUUGAUCAGAUCGGGGCAUGUGGUGAUCUAGUUAUACUUGAAUCAACAGGAAAGAGUAGGCAACAUCUUGAGGCAUCGACAGAGUACUGUAAAUAUCUCAAACACACGUUAAACUCAGAAGGGUCUUCAGAAAAUUUGUACAGAGAAGUUCAAGCUGCGAUAUCUGAGGCACCCAAUUUUCAUACUAUUUAUAUUGAAUUUACUGUUCUUGGAAUACUUUAUUCAUUUUUAAGAUACACAUUCCCAAUCGAUUUCUUUGUUAUCCUUCUUUAUUAUUUUUUGAUAAUUUAUUCUUUUCUAGUUAUGCUCAGAACCAACUUUAUUCUUAUCCAUUGUUAUGGCCUUUUUGCAAGCAUGUUGCAUUAGAAUAAGGAUUAAUGGACUAAUAAAACUUUCACAAGGGAAGUUUUGCAUAUUACUUUAGAAGUUUCUAAAUAAUACAGGAACCUGAAAUAGGACUAUUUUUCAGAACGCACUAAGUUUAAGGAAAAGUCUAAAUUAGGACUUCCUCUUUGGAUUCUGUUGUCAAAAAACAUUGAUUGAGUAAAGUGACAGGAUGUCAGGUUGGUAACAAAGCUAAAACAAACAAGCGAGCAAUAAUCACCAGGCACUAGGAAGAGGUUUCCUCGGAGAAGAAAGCCUUCAUUUGCAGAUGAGCCUUUGACGCGACACCUUAGGCAUGGUGUAAAGGACCAAAGAAUUUCACAUUCUGUAUCCUUGAAUUGUGACAGGAGUGGAUGGAGAAAAAGCCAUUUCUACCCUCAGGUUGCAGUGGAAGAAUGAUGGUACAAAUUUUACAUCCCAGUGGAUUGACUUUGAGGUUUACAGUGAGGGCAAUCUGACUAAGUGCUUCUUAGGAGACGCCAGCAGAGCAGGAAGACGUUGUAGCACGUCAGCGAUAAAACCUUCAUAAAUUUUGAGAAAUGAUAAUUUGAGUGAUAAUUCUCAAAAAUGACAUUCUGCAUUUAUUCAAAUGUCAUUCAUGCAUGUCUAGUUAGGAGCAUUGAAUUCAUUUUGAUCAUAACAUCCUAAUCACUAGGCAUAAUUAAGUUCAUGUAAUGGAUUUUUACAGGUCAUGUUCCUUAGAGAACAGAUCGGUAGUCAAUAAUCCUAUCUCCCUGAAGUUACAGUGGAGCGGAUUAAAACCUUGGAUCUUAUCUCUCUGAAGUUGCAGAGAGCAGAUCACAUCUAGUCUUAUCUCCUUGAAGUUGCAGUAGAAAAGACUAAGUGAGCAAGUCUUAUCCUCCUGAAGUUGCAGUGAGGUAGACUGAAGAAGGCAAAUCUUAUCUCCCUGAAGUUGCAGUGGAGCAGAUUAAAGCCGAUAAUCCUAUCUCCCAAAAGUUGCAGUGGAGCGGAUUAAAACCUUAGAACUUAUCUCUCUGAAGUUGCAGAGAGCAGAUCACAUCUAGUCUUAUCUCCCUGAAGUUGCAGUGGAGCAGACUAAAUAAGAAAAUCUUAUCCUCCUGAAGUUGCAGUGAGGCAGACUAAAGAUGACAAAUCUUAUCUCCCUGAAGUUGUAGUGGAGCAGAUUAAAGCCGAUAAUCCUAUCUCUCUGAAGUUACAGUGGAGCGGAUUAAAACCUUAGAUCUUAUCUCUCUGAAGUUGCAGAUAGCAGAUCUCAUCUAGUAUUAUCUCCCUGAAGUUGCAGUGGAGCAGACUAAAUAAGCAAGUCUUAUCCUCCUAAAGUUGCAGUGAGGCAGACUAAAGAUGACAAAUCUUAUCUCCCUGAAGUUGUAGUGGAGCAGAUUAAAGCUGAUAAUCCUAUCUCCCUGAAGUUGCAGUAAGGCGGAUUAAAACCACAGAUUUUAUCUCCCUGAAGUUGCAGUGGAGUAGACUCAAGAAAGUAAGUCUUAUCCCCCUGAAAUUGCAGUGGGGGCAGACUAAACAUACCAAUCCUAUCUCCCCGACGUUGCGGUGGAGUGGAUCGAGACACCAAUCCCUAUACCUCUGAAGAUGCAGUAAGAUGGAAUGUGGCUACUUGAAGAAGAAGAGCACCAAGAUCCAGCGUGACCGGGUAAAAAUUUGUCAUUUCUAAAGUCUUUCCUCCGUUCCUGUUAUACGACAACGAGCAAAGAGGGGCAGCUGUAAUACCCAAAUUUUUACCCGGCCCACAAUAAACAAAUAAAGUCCAGUUUUUACAAACCGAUUUCAAAUGGUGGCCCAGUUACAAACGCGGCCCAAAAUAGAUGAAGAAACCCUAGGGUUUCUAAGGAGCAGCAGCACCGCAACCUUGCCCUCCAAGCCACCAACGUCCCCGACCUUCAUCUGCACACAAAAAAGGAAACAAACAGUAUAUGGAAAACAAAAUCGAAAGAUUUGAAAAUCAAAUCAAUAUAGGCAGAUUCGUUUCUUCAUAUAUUUUGAGAAUGGCUAUAAAAAGCCAUUAAACAUACUGUAAUCCGGAUCCAAUAAUCAAUAAAAAAAAGGAAUUUCCACAGCAAACCUAGAGUCUAAUACAAAGAGCAAAUCGAUUAAAAGGUUGAUAUUUGCAAUUUUAUUUUUUCUAUUUGUUAUAUUUUUUAUUCUACAUACAAAUAAAACACAAAAAACAAACAAAAGGGAAGAAACGACCUGAGUGGUGCCCAGAACCGCUGUGCAUGACCGGAAGUCGAAAGAUUUCUCAGAGAUUUGGUAUUCUUUUAGUGGUAUUUUGAGGGUUUUGGGGCUGAAAAUGAGUUUUGGGGCUUCGGAGGAGCCGGAUCUAAAGUUUCCCCCUUUUCCAGCCACCACAGGUGGCAGCGCCGGCGCCGGAGAUCGGUGGCCGAUGAACGGCCGAUGCCGGAUGACUGAAUAGGGGGGAGAGUUUCUUGAAAGUUUUUUUGUUUUUUUUUUUAAAAAAAGAAUGGGAAAUGAAAUUUUUGAUUUAAAUUUGGCUUAAAUAAGCCAAUAAAAACGACGCCGUUUGGAAUGAGGUGGGAUCCGCGCGUCGACCCGAUCCGGACCCAGGAUCCGCGCGUUUUUAGGAGGGGCAAAUUGCGUUUUUAGCCCCUCCGCCUUUUAAUACAUUCCCAAUUAGGUUUUUUUAUCUUUUAAAUUUGCCUCUUUAUUUAUUUGCGAUUUCAAUUAAGUCCCUUUUGAAUAGCGUCGUUUUAGAGGAGAAGGGAAAAUUUCCCUUCCAGCCCCUCUAUGUAAUUCGCGCAUUCAAUUUAGUCCCUUUAUCUUUAUUUAUUUAUGGAUUUACCCCAUAUUUUUUAUUUGCAGUUCAAUUUAAUUCUUUUUACAUUUAUCUUAAAAUUAAUUAAUUUUAAUAAUUUAAUUACUAUUUUUUUAUAAAUUUUAUAUGUAAUUAUUUUUAUAUGUAUUUUUUUAUGUACAUAUUUAUUUUCAAACAAAUAUUUUUAUAUUUGUAUAUAUACAUAUUUAUUUUUGAUAAUGUAUUUAUUAUUUUUAAUCUAUAUAUAUAUUUUUAAAAAAUAAAUGUUCUUUUAUAUUUAUGAACACAUAUAUAUUUAUUUUUUUCAAAAAUGUUUAAAUACCUACUUAUUUUAACAUAUAUUAUUUAUUUUCACCAAUGCAUUAUGUAUUUUGUUUUUAUAAAUUUUCUAAAUUCUAUAUAUAAAUUCAUGUGCAUUCUUAAUAGUUUUAAUGUAUAUGUCAUGUACCUUUUAUUCUUUAUUUUUCUUUAUUGUGUUUUCAUUAUUUUCUUAUCUUGCUCGUUUAUUUAAUAUUUUGCAUGUUAUUAACUUUUUUUCUCCCUUAUGUAUAUUUGUUUCAUUUCCCUAUUUAUUCAUAUUAUUUCUAUGCCAUUGUUGUAUUUAUUAUUGCAUUUUUAUACUUAAUGUAGCAUCACAUAAUUGUUUUUUACUCAAUUUUAAGAUUUUCAAAAUUGAGAUGACACUCGUAUUUAGGAUUUUCAAGGAAAUUGAGCCCUAACGUAUUGGGUUUCGAUUUUUUUCGUUAAAUCCAACGACCGAAGGUUGCUCAUUAAUAAAAAAUAAAAAGCUUGUUAUUGGGGAGUUAAAUAUGUUGUAUCCUAACGUAUUGGAUGUGACGUAUUGAUUUCUCGAGACAAAGGUUUUUUUUAAAAAUGAUAAUAAAGGAAAUAUUCCAAGUUUGGGAUUUUGAGAAAUUGUGCCCUAACAUAUUGGGCCGCGAUUUCUUAAAUCUUAAACAAAUGAAUAUUCUUUUAUUUUUUUUAUUACACGAGUUUUUGACUAACUCAUUGUGAAGAGAAUAAAAUGUUGUGCCCUAACACAUUGGGUGUGAUAUUUUUCUGUUCAAAAUGAGAAGGUCUUAAUAAAUAAUUUAAUUUAAUUAAGGAUCACAAUUUUUAAACUCUCGACUUCAAGACAUUAAUUAAUCAAUUUGGUACCAAUUUUUGGGCGUUACGAGGGUGCUAAUCCUUCCUCGAACGUAAUUGACUCCCGAAUCCAUUUUUCUAAAACUCGUAGACCAAAGCCGUUUUUAGGUGAUCCAAUCACACCUUAAUAAAAGAUUGGUGGCAACUCUCAAUUUGUUUUUUUUUUAAGUCAACAACCUAAAAUUUUUGUUUUCAAAAAAACGGUUUCGACAUCCACAAAUAAAUAAACACAUAUACAAAUACACAGUAAGAAAAGGAUAAUCUAUGACCUUAUACUUCCCAAGUAUAUCAUCCAUGUGACUAGACAGACCUAUCACUAUGUACUUAAGUGCAGCACGAGCAUGAGCUGUUGAGCGGCAGGCUCCCUGGCAGAAGAUUUUAAAAGAAAUAAUACAACUACAUUACAUAAGAGAAAUAAACAAAAUGAAUGCCGCAAGCAACAAAUUUCACUGCAUAGUGCAUGCAGAAAAGGAAACAUAAAGUUGAUUCCAAACUACUUAACACUCUCCUUUAUCAUUAGGACCAGUAAUAACUAAAACUAAUGAACCACCACUUCGGUUACAAGAACAGGACAACAAACAUGGAGCAAAUAACAAAUAAUUCCAGAUAACACUACGUUAAUCAUCGAUUGUAGACCAAUUGAUCAAAACAGAUGGGCAUGCCACUAUUUGAUAAAAAGAUUGUCUCUCAUGCACAGACAUUCCAAAUAAGUAAGAUUUCUAGGGAUCUUAUAUUCAUGGGUUGAUUCUCUUCGAAUACCAGGAAUGAUGCAUGCCUUAGCUACAGGUUUGCUUAUUUUUCAGUAUGAUGGGUUUGCAGUUUGGCCAAAGAGACAUGUAAACUGUUUAACCAUAUAACAUAAAAAGUUAUUAGAAAUCUAACUAGUUGCAAGUAUCACAUGCCCCCAACCAAAAUGCACAUUAAAACACCUUAAUAUGUUAAACUUCACCUAUCGCAUCCCUGAUAUUGCAAUGAUGCUAACUAUUAGGCAUUUAAGCCAGAUAGGCUAUAAUGAAUUCUGAACUUGAGAUAAAAAUUUUGAAACAGGAACCUUGCCAGUAAAAAAAGGGAAUGAAAUGCAUGCCACUUGGAAAUGUUGUUUCAAAACUAAUCUUAAUUGGAUAUCUUCAAAAUCUAAAAAGCACAGAAGUUCAUGGAUUUGUUUUUUAUUUAAUUCUCAACCAAGGCAUGGAAAGUGCAAGGAGACCAGCAAUUAACAGCAUAACAAGCAAUUCCAUACAUUUGUAAACUGUAAAUAUCAUACAUAUAAAUCUCUUUGGCUUAAAUUUUAUUCUCAUUCAAACACCUACAUAAAUGUCUUUAGUAAAAUAAUCAUGCCUUAUUACUUAUCUUUGAAUUCCAUUUUUCAAUUAAUCACUUUUUCUUUCAAAUUUUUGUACUAAUACCUGGAUUAUACCCAAAAGGUCCUCCAUGAGUUCCACCAUUAAAUCAACCUGAAGCCAUUAAGUUUCAAAAACAAAGAAAAUUAAAAUUUUUAUUAAAAGAACAAUUAUAAACUGACAUGGUAAUCGUGGUGCGUCACCAACCAUAGAUUAUACUACAAAGACAUGCUUCAGACCAACCUUUGCAAUGACCUAAGUUAUCCAAGGGGCUAGUACACCACAACAUAGAUCAAUCAGAACACAUGCAGCCUUAGCCUGUAGAAGAAGUUGAGAUCAAACAUAUUUGUUUCUUUGAGUACAAAAAUAAAAUCCACACAUCUUAAACAGCACUCAAUAUUGAUUCACAUAAAUUAUUUGGGUCGUUUAGAUAUGCAAUUACAAUCAUAAAGUCACCCAAAUAUGUAUUUACAUACAUUAUGUAACAUCUACCAUAACAAAGUAAGAAGGCUCAAUCAUAUUUAUACUACUUUUUAACCACGAUCGAAGACAUCUCGAUGAUUCAAGAGGAUUUACAGAAAGGGAAAAAGAAUACCUCUAAAAUUGACAAGACUUCCGUCUAAGCUCGAUUCGAGUUCUCAAAUUUCAAAACCCUAACGUCCUUCCAGAAGAAAAAUAAAACAAGAAAUUUUAAACCGUCGCCUUUGAUACCUGCAUCGACAGUCGACGAGCUGAAUUGGAGCCUGACUCCGAAUAGGACUUGGAGGAGCUGGAAUCAGAUGUGAAGAAAACAGCGGAAAGAAGUUAGGAAAUUAGGGAAAUCUGAUUCUGACUUGGGGAAAAAUGAAAUCGGGGAAAUCUGAUUCUGACAUGGGGAAAACUAAGGAAAUUUGGGGCCAAAUAACCUACUUCUUAUAUAUUAUAAUUUUGUUUAUUAAUUUUUUUUAUUUUACCCAAAAAAUGCACACCGCUACCUCUAAAUCAGUUUUUUCAAGGCAGGCUCUCUUCAAGCUAGUGCAACCCUUGAGGGAUUGGCCCAGUAAGCUGAUUGUCAUCUGCUGUGAAGUAUUCAAGUGAUCCACCAUGGCAAAUGCCUUGCGGCAAAUUUGUGUUAAUCAUACAGGUUUUAACUUGAAGCUUUAUCAAGUGAGUUUUGUUGUUUGAUAGUGUGAUGAAGGAGUUAAGAAUUAUAUUGCAGAAUAUUGCAACCUGUAUUUCCCGUAAGAUAGGAUUUGUUUGUAAAUUAGAUCAGAGGUUACGAGAUUAACUCUGUUAAGUUAAAAGAUCAGAGGUUACGAGCUUAACUCUGUUAACUUUAAUAAUCAGCUGGGAGCGUAGGUCCAUAAGUUGUCAAAAACCAAAUGUCGUGAUAUUAAAUCAAGCCAGCCAUAAGAAAGCCAAAAAUCGUGAUUGUAAAUCAGCUUGACAGCCCAAAAGAUAUAAGUCGGAUCUAUACUCAUACAUAGAGCAUGCAAGAAUAGAGCAGCAAUAUACUCCAUAAAUAGUAAACUAAUGUCCCUUAGGAAGGAGAUGAGAACCAAACUGUAGCACAUAACAUCGAUAUCAGAUCAUAUUUGGGACCAUAUAUUCCGAAAGAUCCACACCAGCUGUAAACUCAUAAUAUCAAAACUUUUAUGGGAUUGCAGAAAAGAACAACUCAAAUGGAUAUUCCGUGUCUUUUGGCAUUCUAUCUCAUAAAAAAACCUCAUCAUCAAUAGAUGAAUGCUUAUUCAUAUCGUAAUCUUCUAGUGCAAUGUUUAAGAAAUUUACAAGUUUACUAAAUGUUUGAUUUUCAAUAAAUUGUACUUGGAAAAUGCCAUCACUGAAGAGGUGUGGCGCAAAAAUCCAAGGAUGCUCCUUAUUGUGCAGUUUUCCAAGUAGCUUUUUCCUAUUGCUCACGUACAAUAACACUAUUUUGUUCCAAUCCAAGGUAUCGUGAUAGAUAAUCAAACUCGCGGGAGGAAAACAUAUUUGUCUGAAGUGAUACCAACAUAAAUAUGACUAUCUCAACAAGUACAGAUUCGACAAUCGUUUGAAACCCAUAGUUAUACUCGCAAAAUCCAACUUCAAAGGCUAUUUAUAACUUAUCCUAUAUCAAGAGAUGCAAGUGCAUGCAUAAUAAUCAAGAGAAAUCGUACAAACAUGUCAAUAUCCUAAAAAGUAAUAAUAGUAUGGACCCGAAUGAUUUCAUUAGUCAUUUACCUAAUAACAUCCUUCACCAAAUCAUUUUGCUGCUCCCUAUUCAAUCCGAUGUCUGAACUUAGUGUCUUUUCAGUUUAGAGACAACAUAUAAUUCCUUUACCUGUUUCAUUUGUUUCAUGUGAAACUAGACAUAAUAAUCUUCAAUUUGAUAUGUAAUCCAUCACCAAAUUCAAUUGCUAUGAUUUUUGGUAAAUUUUCAGACUCGCGUCAGUGUUGCUGCAGUAUUCUAUUUAUGGCAAAUUUCAUCCCUCUUAUGAGUUUUUAUGCACUAAGUAUCUUAAUAAUUUUCCUUAACAUCAAACAUAAUCUAAACUUACCAUUUUCAUAAUUUAUCAUUAUCAAAUAUUUUCUCAACCAUUCUGUCACCAUAUCAUAAGAUCAUUUACACAAAAUAAGUAUAUUGCUAUACAUGCCAUACUUAAAUUUACAAGCCAUUUACCAAAAAUCUUCCGGAUAGUGUGACUGAGCCUUCGACCUAUCCCGACUCCUGAACUGGCUUGUCCAAAACUACAAUGAGUAAGAAGGAGGGAGUAAGCAUAAAUGCUUAGUAAGUUCAUAUGUAAAUAAUAAAUAACAUAACAAACAAUCAAACUAAUCAACAUUAGCAUAUAUCAUCAACCCACUUAUCACAUUUUUUAAUCAUUUUUCAUCAUCUUAUUACCUUAUCGUGGUUGUAAUCAACACUCAACCCGAGGGUUAAAUACAUACCUGUCCAAAAUAUCAAUUUCUCAUCACUUACCAAUACGUCUCUUUUCAUCUCGAGUAUUCCUCCAUUUGAGUAAAACUUUACCCGUUGAACACAUCGGAAUAUAAUUUGGAUACAUGGAUAAUUUGCGUAUAAGUGCCACAUAUUCAAUCAAGCAAUCAUGUAAGCCGCCCAUAAGCGAACUCGGACUCAACUCAACGAGCUCGGGCGUUCGCAUCCAUAAGUGAACUCGGACUCAACUCAACGAGUUCGGAUGCCUAGUUACAUCUCACGAACUCGGACUCAACUCAACGAGUUUGGACAUUCGCAUCCAUAAGUGAACUCGGACUCAACUCAACGAGUUCGGAUGCCUAGUUACAUCUCACGAACUCGGACUCAACUCAACGAGUUCGGACAUUCGCAUCCAUAAGUGAACUCGGACUCAACUCAACGAGUUUGGAUGCUCAACCAUCCUAGUGACAUGUCACUUGUAUCCUAAUCUAUUCCUAAGGUUCAAACGGGAUUUUUUCCUCGAACACUUAUCCUUGCCGUCUUUCGUAGAAUGUCGAAAUCAAUACUCGGUAACAAUUAUAUUUAACAAGUAGUUCACAUAAUUUACAUAUUAUUUGAAAUUAACCACAAAGUAUACAUUUCAUAAUAAGAUUCAGCAUAACAUAUAAUUAACAUCAAUAACUUAAAAAUAACCAUUAUGCUACAUUAUUUACACAUGAACUUACCUUGGUACCAAAAUACAAAGAUUUUGCAAUUUAGUCCACAAUCUUUUCUUUUCCUCGAUUGAGGUCGAUUCCACGUCUUUCUUGAUCUGAAAUAACACAUUUAGCUCAUUUAAUACUCACAUUAUCAAAUUAAUCCUUAACUCAAAUUUUGGCAAAAUUACAAUUUUGCCCCUAAACUUUUGCAUAUUUACAUUUUUUCCCCUAGGCUCGGGAUUAAACUUUAUUCCUUAUUCUUAUGUUUUACAACAUGCUGAUCACUUUUCUCUUCUAUGGCAACAUCAAAUUCUCACUCUAACAUGUACUUGUGACUAUUAGGUAUUUUUACCGAUUAAGCCAUUUUACUCGUUUUUGCUUAAAAUCGAGUAGUACAAGUUGAUUGCAAAUGCUAAAACCUACCCAACGCUGUAAACAACUUCAACACUUGGUGUCAGACACUGUAUUUUCUUAACAGCUAAACCAAGAUCGAAGGCAAUUUCUUCUCAGUAGCAAUUACUACCCCAUUAGCAGCUUUGAUUCUAAGAGAUGUUUGACCCGAUUCGAUUGCAGAAAAGGGUGCUCGAUUUGAACUAGCUUUCCUGAAGGACAAGAUGCAACACUGAUGAGGCCAGAACGAUCGGUACGAUAGAUGAACUCAGUUUUUUAAACACUAUUAUCAUAAGCACCAGCUGUUGUCAAAAUUUUGAGAAAGGAAUAUCACUGCUAUUAAAGCCGGGAGCAACGCAUCUAACCAAUUGAGGGAAACCAUGUGAAUAGAGACAAAGUGCAGUGAAAGUCACAAAAGGAAACUCGUAUAAAAAAUAAUGUUGGAUUUUGGGAUCUAGCCAAACACCUACAAAUAUAAUUAUCGCAGAAAGCACAUGCAAAGCAAUAUAUAUACACACACACACAUAGCUAUCAGCUUAAAAAAUCAACAUUUUUAUUUACUGAAUAAACAAAAACCCAAAACUUUAAGCUUCACAUUUCCACAUCUUUUUUAAUAAUCUAGACCAUCAUAUUGAUAACUAAUAAAGAAUUAUAAAACUUGGCUUAAUCAUCAAUUUAAUCCGAUUCAACUUGCUCAUAUAAACAUACCAACCGAUUUUUUGUCUCAUUCAAAUUAAUAUAUCUAUCAACUCAUGAUUCAAUUGAUCAAAUGGUUGAUCAAAUUUCAACAAAUCUCUAACAUUUGAUACGAAAUAAUAUUAUUUUAUAUUCAUUAAAAAUAAUCAAAAUUAAUAAAUAAUUUUAAAAUACAAACAGUCACAUAUUGACAAUAUCUUUACUUUGGAAAUUAACAACUAAAACAAGCAAAUUACUAUUUAAAAAAAAUCAACCGUUUACUAAACCAAAACCAAAACCAAAUUAAAAAAAAACAAAGCUAGAAACCCUAAAACUACAAGCGAUUUUGGAUCUGGAAAGGCAAAGCUGAGGGUGAACCAUGAGCGGCGAUACUAGUGAUUCCUCCAGUUACUUUGAUGGGCGAGAGCCAGAUGAACUGAUCAGGGCCCUCGUCGAGAAAUGGCAGGGUACAGAUGGUGAAAAAACGCUCGGUUUGCACUUUAUUGAUCUGGAAAGCAAUAAAGUCUUUAUUAAGGCGAUGCCACCUGAUGCUCCUUCAAAUUCCACUGCCAUUUCCUGUGGCAACCACGUUUAUGUUAUUGGGGGAAUAUGCGAAAAUGAUGCUAAUCCUUCUUGUAAAGAUGAUGUAAACGAUGUUUUCCAAUUAGAUUUGAAGGACCUUGAACGUGGGUGGAGAAAAACUACUUCUAUGUUGUUCCCUCGGUCUUUUCCCCAUGUUCUUGCUGCUAAAGGAAAGAUUUACGUCUUCGAAUGUAUGGAUUCUGAAUCUUUUGGCGAGGUUUACGAUAUAAGUGGGGAUAUUUGGGAACCAUUGUCGCCCCCUCCGGAAGCUAUCGAUAUAAGUGUUUUAUGUGUUCCUGUUCUAGAUUUUUCUCGAUCUCGGAUUUUGGUGCACUGCUAUGCCAGUGGCACUCUUUACGCUUAUUACUAUGAUCGUAAAUCAUGGGUUUGCCUCGAAAAAAAUUUUGUUCCUGGUUUGACUCAGCGGCUAUCGUGGACGAUGUGCUGUAUACUUACAUUUAUAAUUGUUCUUUGGAGGUGUAUAAUUUGCUUGAUAAGAAACAUUUUCCCAUCAAAUGGUCAUCAGAAUUUCUAGUGGCGGAACCACCGGGUAGCACUCUGUAUCGUCUGGGCAAUGGCAAGCUUAUUUUGGGUUGGGUCAACAAUCUCCAUAGGGGUUUUGAGUGCAUAAGAUUUAAUAUUUGGUGCAACGAGCAGGGAGGGAUUCAUGCAGCUGCAGAGCAUCAAUCUGCCAUCACUGUUCCAUAUCCCGAAGAUAUUUCUGGUAUAUGGUUUUUCUGAAUGAAGGUUAGAGCCCCCUUCAUAUCACUACUACAUCAUAAUUAUUCAUUUGCCAAUGCUGCUUGCCAUGUCAUUUGGUUUGCUCUAAAUGAAGGUUAGUGCCCCCUUCACAUCACUACCACAUCUUAAUUAUUCCCAUCCUUGUACAUUGACGGAUUUUUCAUUUGCCAAUACUGCUUGUCAUUGCAUUUUGUUUGCUCUUGUUGUUGCUAAGAAGUUGAUAGUGAGCCUGGAACUUCCUGUAUAAAACUUGAGUAAUGCUAAGGUAUGGAGUAGAUGAAUCAGGUGUCGGAUUUGCAUUGUGUGAAAAUGUCUGCUUUAUUUGUUGUUUUAAAUGGGUACGAGGCUCCUAGCACCUUUAGAGGACUAAAACUCAAGUUCUAUCUUGCCUUACCCCUAAUAGUUGCUUCUAGUUUUUUGUUCCAACAAGAAAAUAAAAUAUCCUGAUCUAAACAAAGGCCUAAAUUCCUACUUAGGAAGUUGGUAGACUAUGACAAUGUUUCUGCCUAAAAUAUCAGAGCGAGGUCAUUACCUAUAGGCAAGUGAAGAUUUAGUAAAAUGAUGUCCUUUUGUCGGUGAUGGAUACCACACGUAGAAAUGCCAAUAUUGAUAAGGACUAUGAUAACCUUGAACAAUAAGUAAACAAAGUAAAGCUUGACUGCCAGUUAAAUAAAUUGAGAAAAAGAAAUUGGGUGGGUUGUGUUGCCCCAAGUAUGGCUCCCUUUUGGUAAUUAGGGUUGGCUUUAGUCGAAUGAUAUUGCCCAUAUUUUGUGCUGGGUCAGGGGACUAGCCAAAUGUGAAAGGUGUUAGUAUCCUGUCUAGGCUUGACUUGUGAGCAGGCCUACCUAUGACCAAACUAUUACUUACGUUGUAACUUCUGCUUGACUUCCAUCCCCCCAAUUACUUUUGAUAACCUCCAUCUUUCCCACUACUCAUGAUUGGUGUUACUUUCAUAUUAAUGCUUUGCUAAUAAAUUCCCAGCCCUUUUAACUUCACUCGAAAAGGCUAUACAGUUGUUCCAGAGACGAAGUUUUGGCUCUCAAGAAAUUCUGUACGAUUGGUACGAUCAUCAUGAUUUAACUGGCCUCAGGAACGUACAACCUUCAUCAACGCACUUGCUCCUUUUAGUCUUCCUUUCUGUCUUCUUGCAGCAUCUCGUUUUACUGAACAUAAAUUUUUGAAACAUGCAUAUGAUAAGAAGCAAGAUGAAAGUGCAGAAAACAUAACUAUUACUAAGUGAGGAUAGAUUUAUUCAAUAGGCUGAAUUUGAUUUGAGAUAGUGAAUGUUAUUACUAAGUGAGCUAUUAGCUUGUUGAAAUCAGUAAGAGAGUGGACAAAAUAUUACUUAAGAAUAUAACUCUAAUAAAUGGGAAUUACUUAGUCCUACAACUAGAGAAUUUGAAGUAGAGAAAAAGGAAUUAGUAGGGGACAAAAAUGUUUAUUUAGAAAUUCUUGUUAAAUAUUUUGCCAUCCUAUUUCCGGUUUUGUAUCGUAUGUUUUCUUGGAAAGUAAGAAGGUUUGGGAGCGAUAAUUAUAUCUGUAUUGUUUUUUCCUCGUUUCUUUGAUUUUGUUCUUGCGUGCUCGACUGAUGAAGCUCCAACACGUAAGAAGUCAAAAAUGAAAAUGGUAUGAAUUACAUAUGAAGAUGAAUGCUGCAGACUGCAGAUGUAUAUCUGAAAAACCAUUAAUAGAUUAUGGAGAUCGUUUCUCCGAUGUGUUUGUUUUGUUGGUAGUUGUGAGUUAUAAUAAUAAUAAUAAUCUUACUCACUUUUCAUUGCUGUAAAAGGUCAUGGAAGCUUUUAUUAUUAUUAACAACAAUGUUGGUUUUUAGGGUUCAUUUGGUGCCUGUUGAUGUGGUCUGCUGAUGGAUAUGUGUGUAUAUAUUUUUAAUUAUUAAUUUUAUGGAUCAGAAAGAUUAUAUUAUAUAUAAAUUAAAUAUACUUUAAUUUUGGCUAAAUGGUAAAGAAAAGCCCCCAGACUUUUUCAAAAAAUCAAUUAAGCUCCCUUAAUUUUUUUAUUUUCACUCAAUUGAGCCCUUGAACAAUUGAAUUACAAUCAAUCAAUCAAUCCCUUUAACUCUUUUCAAUUUUCACUGCAAUGAUAUAAAAUUAUAUUCUUAUUCUGAGAUUUUUUUUCCCUCCCUUUUAGGCCUCAGCUGGAACGUGUUGGUGCAUGGAGUUGAGUCAAGACCCAUGUUGAUGGUGAAGAGAGACUUUGAAGAUGCCGUCAAUUAUUUUGGUUAAAACUUUGAAGUUGUUGAUGUAAUUGGGUGCUUCCUUUUUGGAUACCGAAAUAUUGACAAAGUUAAAACUAUAUAGUAUUGUGAUUUUGCACUUUAUUCAGUUCUUUUAAGGCCAUCUCUCUUGCCCUUCAAAUAACACCCAUUAUGUGGUUGAAAUUUUUAUUUUUUAAAUUAAAUAAAUGUAUUUGAAAAUUAAAUUAAACCUUCGUGGUCAGAGGUGAAUUCAGGGGUUGCUAGGGGAUCGAAUUCCUAAAUUGGGAAAUUGUUAUUUUAGCCCUAUAAAAGAUUUUAAAAUUUUAAAAUAUUGAUGAGAGUGAUAUAUAGUGGUAAAUUUCAAAUUUUAGGUAAUUUUUCAUAUUAACCCUAAAUAAUUUAAGGAAUUUGAAUUUUUUACUAAAAAAGCAUUUAACAAAUCGAUGGAUUUAGAAAUAUUAAUGAAGGUUAUAUUUGGAAGUAUUUUAUUAUUCAAUUUAUGGAGCAUUUGGGAACUUAGUUUUAAAUUUUGGGUUUGAAUUUAAAAAUAUAUAUGUAAUGAUUGAGUGAUAACAUAUAUACAAAAUAUAACAUCUAUGAUUAUUUCUUAAAAACAAGAAUUUGUUUGAUUCCUACUAACUAGUUGAUUUGGGUUCCUAAGGUAUAUAAGAAUUUGACAAAUUCAUACAUUUUUUUAUACCAUUUUAAAUAUAUAGUAUAUUGAAACAAAUACAUUUAUAAAAGAAUAAUUUAAAGAUCAUCAUAUUAGAGUAACAAAUUUAGGGGUGUUUAAAUUUCGAUUAAAAUUAAUCGAUCAGUUAACUAAUCUAAUUCGAUCAGAGAUUGGUUAAUACUUUUUUGAAAGCUCAGUUAUCGGUUAAUUUGGCUCGAAAGCGAGUGAUUAACCAAAUUAAUCGAACUUAAUAACUAAUAUCAUAUAUUAUAUGUAUUAGGCUUAGCCUACUGCCCACCUAAUCCCCAACCAGCGGCUCACCCCAGCACUCCCAAGUCCUACCCAAUAUAAACCUAAUCUAGUAUAAUUUAUAAACACAACCCAAUUUAAAGUAUUGGGACUGAAUCCGCAACUUUCAUAAAAUACAAGUACUAAUAGAGAUAUUUAGCCGAUUAUUUUAACCUGAAAGUUUCAGGGAUGGACUUGCUCAAUUGGUUUCAGACAAGUCUAGAUACAAAAGCUUGGACAUAAGUCCUAGUUUCAAUGGCACAUUACCAGAAAGUUUAUUCCCAUUCAAACCAAUAUAAAGAAAAGAUGUCAACUUUUGCACAACCCCAAAUAGGAAGACACUACACCUUGAAAUUCAUUGUUAAGUCAAUGAAUUUUAGGUUCGGGUAAACACCUAAAUAUUUAGAUAUAUUCCUUCUAAGUCAGUUUUUUUCAAGGCGGACUUCCUUCAAGCUACUGUAAAUUUUCAACCCUUAAGGGAUUGGCCCAAUAAGCUGGUUGUCAUCUGCUGUGAAGUAUUCAAGUGAUCCACCUUGGCAAAUGUCUCGCGGCAAUUUUGUGUUAAUUAUAUAUUGAUAUGGACAAAUUUAGUAUAAUUUGAGGUUUAUAGGACCAGAUUAUUUUUAAAUAAUUAUAUAUAAUAUUAAUACCAUGUAUAAAAUCAACCCAGACUCCAACUAAUCUAGCCCCACCGAUCACCAUCAUAUGUAGUAUUUAGCUCAAUGAGUCUGAUAGCCGGAGGCAACUGCCAUUCCUUACCCAUAAUCACACUCAUUAAAACCUUAGAACAGAAUAGAAACAUAAAUGUGAUAUGAACUCCCCAUGUUCUGGUGUUGCUUCCCAUGUCACAAUUAGAAAACCAUUAAAUUUUUUAGAAACAAUUUUGAGGAUUUUAUUAAAAGCUUUAUAUCCACUUAGUUGUAGUAAUCUAGGAAUUAGCUCAGCCUAGUGCGCUGGAACUCAAUUGCAAUGGUCUUCUCACAACUUCAUAUGGGUAAAAUAGCCGUUAUCCAUUUUUUAAUUUAGUGACUUCCCAUAUUAAUUUAAUUGCAUAUAGAUUAAUUAUUUGAUUUAAUUAAGUGUUAUAAAAAUAUUAUUUGGUUGAUUUAAAUGAAAAAUCUCUACGAUAUGUUUUUGAAGCCAUUCAAAUCAAUCUCCACGAAACAGUUGAUCCAAUUUGCUUGAUUUAAAUAAAUCCAAUCUUUAAAAAUUUGUUGCUUCAUAAUAUCAACCUUCAAAUAUGGACUAAUAUAUGUCCAUAAUAUCAACUAAUUCAUGGCCCUACUAUAUUGUUUCAAAAAAUUACUAACUUCAAAUACGACAAAUUAUAAAACCUUGGGCACUUAUCAACAUAAUUGUAAAUACUUGGUGUCGUUGCUCUUACAAGUGCCUCAACAAUUUUAAAACAUUUUAUUUUAAAAGCAAUUUCAAUUGGAGUCUAUAGGAUACCAAACUAACAAAUUUAAUUUUAUUAGGCAUAAACUUCUAUUGCAUUUUAUUAGAGUUCAUUCAACUAGAGGUGAGUAUUCAGUCGAGUCGAGUUAAGAAAAUUCGAGUCAAAUCGAGUCGAGUGAACAAAUCGUAUUAUUUAUGCUCAAGAUUGUGUUUAUAUGGACCAAUUAUUUAACUAGUAGACAAAGUAUAUGAUUAUUUAACUACAUAAACAAUAUAAUGAUUUUGCCUUUUGACUUAAUAGGUAAACAUUUAUCAAAACGAAAUAGUUUUACCUUUUAACUUAAUGGUUUUGACUUUUAGCUUAGAAAAUGUAAACAUUUAUCAAACGACGUAGUUUUGCAUUUUCUUAGUUUGAUUUUCGGAUAACUCGAAUUGUAUAAUUCACAUUUGAGUUAAACCAAAAAAUUUGAUAUUUUUAUUCGAGUUGAUCUGAACAACUCGAUUAACUUGAAUUGUUUAACUUAAAAUUUAAGUUUUUUAUCAAUUUUUUCGAGUCGAAUCGAAUUUUGCUCACCUCUACAUUCAACCAUUUCACUCCAAUCUUGAAACAUUAGAUUUAUUCGUGGGUCGAGUUUAAAUAAAAUAUAACAUGUUAUUUGACUGAACUUGACUUUACUCAAAGCGUAACGUUACUUUUCUACCCAAAUUUAACUCAAAUAAGUUUGAAAAAAAUUCGAGUUUGACUUGAUCUGCACUAGAUGUGAUUAUGGGAUAGGUUGUAAUGAAAUUUAAGGCCAGUUUUAUAAGCCGAGCCCAGCUCGACCUGAUACCAAAAAUUGGCCUAAAUUUUUGUUCAAACUUGGUCUAGAUAAAAAAAAGUUAAAACUCGAGCCCGGCUCAAUCCGCCGUGUUAUUAUAUUUAUAAAUAGAUUUUAAAAAUAUAAUAAAUCAAAUAUAUUAAAAAAUUAAAAUAAAUGUUUAUCAACAAAUUGAAAGUAAAUUAAAAGGAAGUAUUUAUACUUAAAUAAUAUUGAGAUAAGUGCCUCUAAAAAUAAAAUAGUAACAAAAUUAACAAUAAAACAAAACUAAUACAAUAUCCAAACAAUAAUACAUAGUAAUAUAAUAGUGAAAUGGCACUACACCAGAACAGGUUUUUAGCGGCGUUUUUUUAGGCAUUUAGCGGCGCUUUUUAGCGUCACUAAAGAUGUUUGUGGCGCUUCCACAAGCGCCGCAAAAAAAGCCGCUAACGACAACGUCGCUAACGUUUGCAGCGUUUGCAGAAAAAAACGCCACUAAAGGUCAUGUUCUUUAGCGGCGCUUACAAAAAAACGCCGCUAAAGAUCAUGUUCUUUAGCGGCGCUUAAAAAAAGACGCCGCUAAAGAUCAUGUUCUUUAGCGGCGGUAAAAUAAAAACGCCGCUAAAGAUCUUGUUAUUUAGUGGCGCAUGAAGAAAAACGCCGCUAAAGAUCAUGUUCUUUUCGCGGCGCUUUCUUCACAAACGCCGCUAUAGAACAUGACUUUUAGCGGCGCUUUUAUAAAAAACGCCACUAAUUUUGGGAUUUUUGUAAAAUAAAAUUUUCUAUUUUUUCAGCCCUCCUGUAACUACAAAUCAAAAGCAACCAGAUCUAAACCAGCCAGAAGCAAUAAAUUUAUAUAAUAUUUCAAAUUAAAUAAAUAAAAUAAUAUUAAUAUCAAUAAAUAAAAGUGAAUUCAUACUUUUUUUUUACAAAAAUGUUAAAAGUUAAAAUGAUAAAAAUAUUUAUGCAAUACACUAUGACGGCGGAAGUUGCGAUUGCUGAAACAUCUUCAUUAUACUCUGAAGCUGCUUUUGAAGUUCGUCGUGCUUUUUGCCCUGCUCUGCUUCUCUCGAUGCCGCAUCUGCUUUAAGUUGUAGCUGGAGUUCUUCAUAUUUCUUUUGAACCUCUGCUUCUCUCAUUGCUUCUCUAGCUGCAGCCUCUGCUUCCCUCGUUGCAGCCUCUGCUUCCUUCGCUGCAGCCUCUGCUUUAAGUUGCAGCUGGAGUUCUUCAUAUUUCCUUUGAACCUCAACUGUGGUCGCUUGCAUCUGAGCCAUUUGGUCUUUUAAUCUCUGAACUUCAGCUUGAGCCUGACUCCCCGAAGCCAUGUAUAGCUACGAGCUGGAUCCGAAAUAUUGGGUUGGGCUAACAAAAGAUCCUUGAAAUCGAACCCGAUCAUACCUUUCAAGACCCAAAACUUCAGUAAUAAUUCGGUUAUCAAUGUCUUCAAGAUGAACAGAACUAUAACUAGAAACAACCGCUUCGUACUUCGCCUUUUUAUCCUUUAGUUUUUCCUAAUAAAUAAAUCACAUAGUUAGGAACGCAAUAUAUAUUAAAAAAACAAAUGCAACAUAAAAAUAGUCGCAUUACAAACAAUGAAUUAAACAAUUAGAAAAUAAACACUAUAAAUAACUAAAACAAGUCAAAUCGUAUUAAGUAAAUGUACCAUAAUUUCACCAGCUUUAGGAGUCAUAGCAGAUCCAUCUUUCUUCCUAUGUGUAAUUUCAAAAAGUUGAAGGCGUCCAACUUUUUGACCGGACAACAGUUCCUACAAUAUAGUAGUAAAAAUAUUAUUUAAUGGAAAGUUAUACGUAUUUGACAAUAUUAAAAAAUUAAAAAUACCUCCGCCUCAACUACACAUGCAAAACUUCUCGACCUGGCUAUGUGAGUGAAUUUUUGUUGCUGCCUGUUGCUUUUUCCAACUCGUUCACGAUCCUACAUUAUGAAAUUUUUAGUACGUAAAUAGUAAAUACUAUAAAACAAAAUAAUUACAAUAGUUUUAACGUAUGUCAUACCUCGCCUUUCUUCAAAUGCCAAAAUCUAACCGCAUCUUCCCAUUAGUACCUCAGCAUACCCGGCGGGACAUUUUGCAAUUUCUCAUCGAGGGUUGUUUUUGUCUUAUAAUAAUGUUUCUUCAAAGUAAUUUUAUGGUCUCUCCAUCUUUUUCCCAAUGCCUUCUUUACAUAAGCAUCCAAGACCUCUAAAGCAAACCUCGCCUACAAAAAACACAAGUUAAUAAAGUAAAUAUAAAUGAAACUAUUUCCCAAGCAUUACAGAUGACAUUGACAUUUUGUUACCUUAAUAUUAUCGAGGGCUUGGUUUUUGUUGCUAUCAGGCAUUUGACGCCAUGACUCGUAGUUGAUAGGUAACAUAUUCGCAUUUCGUGCUAAAAUGCCCAUGUAUCCUUUUAAAAGUCGAGCUUCUGAUCCAACAGGCUUACCAAAACUGUUUCUGCAUACCUUGACACGCUCGACUGGAUCUAACUCGUAUAAAUCUCUAAGUAGCGUACGUCCUCGACCUCUGCGCGUCCCACCAUUUUCAGCUGCAAAUGGUAUAUUACAAUAUAAGAAUUUGAGAAAUAAAUCAAUUAUAAGUCAACACGCAUGUAAAUUAAAUGUAAAGUUACUUUGAACUUUUGUAGGAUCCUCAGGUGUAAUCAGAAAAUUUGAAGAUCCAACUACUGUCUGUUGUUCAGUACUAUUUGUUCCUGUCGAGUUUGGAUCACUUUGAACAAUGCUUCCCCUUGGAAUUUUUCUUCUAGGCAUUUUAUCUGCAGUACACAUAAAAUAGUUGAAAACUUAAUAACUAAUUACAACAAUAACAGCACAUAUAAAAUAGUUGAAAUAUAUAAUAAGACCAAGAUUUAAAUAAUGAUAUUACAUAUAAUUAAACAAUCGUAAAAUCUUACUAUGUCAUUAUUCGUAAAUAUCUUCAUCCGUAUCCUGACGAACCCAUUGAAAUUGUGUACUAGUACUAGGGAUAUUAUCGUUUAAGUUUUGUUCUAGAAAGGGCAAAGUUUUUGAUCUGUCGUCGAUGUUAUCUCUACUUCCACUGCCCAUGUCAAACAAGUCUUUAGGGAUGUUACGGAGUACAACGUACCAACCCUCAUCAGUUGGAUCUUUUGAGUAAAAAACUUGUUUGACUUGAGAAGAGAAUACAUACGGCUCAUCUAUUAGUUGUUGUCCUGUGUGAAUCAAUCGAGCGAAGUUCACCAUUGUAAAACCAAAUUGAUCUUGCUUAAUUCCAUGAGCAGUAUUAACAUCGACCCAAUCACCUCGAAAUAAUACUACUUUCCAUUUGUCGUAGUAAUCCAACUCAAUUAUGUCAGCAAAAAGUCUGAAAUAUUCCACAUUUCCCUCGAUAGGAUUAUUGUCCCUGGCACUAGCUUAACCUGUAAUUAAGGAAUUAACAAAUAUUCCACAAUUUUGCGUUCUCCUCAACCUCUCGCGAUAUUUUGUAUGAAAUCUGAAUCCGUUGAUGAAGAACGUACUAUAUCUUUUAACCACUCGAUUUGGACCUUGGGAGAGCCAUUUAACUUCGUCGUUUACGUUCUUCCCACUCCAAACCUAUUAAAUGGAAAGUAAACUGAGUAAUUAAAAAUGUUAUGAGAAAACAUUAUUAUUUGUAAGCGGAAGCUCCAACUGCAUACCGUUUGGCUUAACCAUUCAUGAAAAGAUUCUGUAAACAACUUAUUGAUAUCUCGAUGUUGUGUUCUUUGAGAGCGCGAACGAGAUCUCAAUAUUUGUUUGUACUCACUACGUUAAAAAAAUGUUCACUUUGUUAGAAGAUAAUCAAUUUUUAAUUUGAUAAAUAUUUAUCAAAUUUGUAGAACUUACUUCCGUAAAGGUUCCAUUGAUUCGUGGUGAAACAGAACAUUCGAUGUGCUUGUACCCAUGAUAAAUGAUCUAAUUCUGCAAUUUCAACUUUGCCAAUUGGUUCUCCAAAACUUUGGAACAAAUAAGUAUUGGCGAUGUUAUGGUCCGUGAGUCCAGCAUUCCUAUUUGGUCAACAUCUUCCAAAUAUCUUGAGCAGAAGGUCAUAUAUUCCUCUGGCAAGUAGCCUUCAGCAAUCGAUCCUUCUGGAUAUCGCUUGUUGCGGCAGUAAGACUUUAAUUUGGAUAGGAACCUAAACACAAUAUACAACACUAUCAAAAGUUGUAACUAAAGGCAUAAAGGUGAAUGAAGGAAAAUUUUAAAAAUUUUAAUUAACACCUUUCUAUGGGAUACAUCCAUCGAUAGAAAAUGGGUCCGCCAAGAAUUGUUUCAUGCGGGAGAUGGAUUAUCAAGUGAACCAUAAUGGUGAAGAAGGAAGGUGGGAAGAUUUUCUCCAUGUUACAUAAAGUCAAAGCGGCUCGAUCCUGUACCUUCUGAAGUUCUUGAACAUCCAAAACUUUGCCACAAAUGGCUUUCAUUAUGUUGGAUAGUUCAAUUAUACAAGACGUCACCUUCUUGGACAUAUAACAUCGUAGAGCAACUGGCAGUAAAUCUUGCAUCAGGAUGUGAUAGUCAUGUGAUUUUAGCAAAUAUAAUCUUCGAUCUUUAACACUAACACAUCGAGAUAUAUUUGAUGCAUACGCAUCUGGAACCUUUAUAUCCUUCAACACCGUGCAGAACACUUCUUUCUCCGUCUUUGACGUUGAAAAAUAGAAAGCAGCAACCGAUAUUUCCCAUUCGAAAGUAGAUUGGGAUGAAGAUCAGGCUGAAUUCCCAUUUGGACUAAAUCAAGUCGACUCUGAAGAUUGUCUUUUGAUUUUCUGUCGACAUUCAAAAUUGUACCCACAAUGUUCUCGCAGACAUUUUUCUCAAUGUGCAUAACAUCAAGAUUGUGUCGUAAAAGGUGAUGCUCCCAAUAAGGCAACUCAAAAAAAAAUACUUCUUUUUUUCCACAAGUCCGCCUCAUUAGGAUCGUCUUCUUCAUCAGAGUCAUCAUCAGCUUCAUCAUUUGAUCUUCUAUUUCUUUGCGUGUUUGGAGGUUGUUUCAUCUUCCUAUAAAUGAAAUUCAUAUCUUCCAACAUAAACAAAAUUUCAGAGCCACUGGUCUGUGAAGGAGCUUCUCUGAACUCUUCAGUACCGUCAAAUACAGAACUCUAAAAUCUAAAUCUAUGAUUUUUCGGUAACCACUGACGAUACCCCAUGUAAGAGAACUUCUUCCCAUUGUACAACCAUUGCGAACAUGUUUGUGCAACACAACAAGGACACGCAUAACGACCCUUAGUACUCCAACCGGAUAAAUUGGCAUAAGUGGGGAAGUCAUUAAUGGUCCACAUCAAAGCUGCACGUAAAUUAAAGUUCUCCUUUCUCAGCACAUCGUAUGUCUCGACACCAUCCCAUAAUUGUUUUAACUCUUCAAUAAGCGGCUGUAAAUAAAUGUCGAUAUCAUUCCCGGGCCCUUUCUCUCCAGGGAUAAUCAUAGAUAAGAUAAUGGAAGAUUGCUUCAUGCAAAUCCAUGGAGGCAGAUUGUAAGGAACAAGCACUACUGGCCAAGUACUGUAUGCAGUGCUCAUGAUCUUGAAAGGAUUAAAUCCAUUAGAUGCUAGCCCAAGCCUGACACUCCUAGGAUCGCUUGCAAAGCUUGGAAAUUUAUUGUCAAAUGAUUUCCAAGCUAAAGAAUCUACCGGAUGCCUUAUUAAUCCAUCAUCGGUUCGUCCAUCAUGGUGCCACAUCAUUGACUCCGCUGUCUUCGACAACAUGAAAAGCCUUUGAAGUCUUGGUAUCAACGGAAAAUACCGUAAAAUCUUGACUGGCUUCUUUCUUGACUGUGCAUCAUUUUCAUCGUCGUUCCCAUCUUCUUUGUUUCUAUUUAUCCAACGGGAUUCGCCGCAUACAUGACAACACUAUUGGUUUUUCCGAUCGGCCCAAUAUAACAUGCAGUCAUUCGGGCAACUAUGGAUUUUGUUGUACCCAAGGCCAAAAUCUUUUAUCAUUUUCUUCAUAUCUUUGCAUGACUGAGGGAUUUUUGCAAACGAAAACAUUUCUCUCAAAAACUCUAACAGCAUUGUCAAUGAGUUUCUGGUCCACCCUCCUAAACAUUUUAAUUGAAAAAGACGAACACAGAAUGACAUUUUUGAAAAUUUUGAUCCCUCAUACAGUUCUUCGUUCAUCUCAUUAAGUAGCGCAUAAAACUUCGCCGCUUCUCUAUUCGGCUCUUCAUGAGGUACACUACUUCCAGGUUCGAUAAAAGCAUUUCCACCAAUAUUACAAUCACCAGAAGCCACAAAGUCCGUUGGGAACGACUGGACACCAUGAUUGUGCAUAUUAAAUGCAUCCCGCAACAUACCUUUCAUGUCAUCCCCUCUAUCAGACUGAUGGUAAGCAGUACCAAAAUAAGAUACAUCCAUCCUUGAAGAGGAAAUACUACGCAUGCAUUCUCCAUGAAAUAACCAUUGUUUAUAACCCCGAACAAACCCAUCAACAAUUAGAUGCUCGUAUACAACUUCACGAUAAUGCCAGUUGAUGUUGACACACUUCUUACACGGGCAAAGAAUCAUGUUCUCCUGGCUUGCAUAUUGAAAUGAAAAAUCUAAAAAAGUUUGUACUCCAUUCCGAUAACCGUUGCUUACCCUUGACAAAUUCAUCCAAGACCGGUCCAUUUCUUAAUUCUUUAGGUCUGAUGUUGACAAAAAAUUGCACGGGUUUAGGAUUUAGGGAUAAGUAUAACUAAGCUAUGUAAGUUAUUAUGUAAGUUAAUAUUUUUCUCAAUGUAAGUUAUGUAUAUAUUAUAAAAGAUAUGUAAGUUAUGUAUUAUGUAAGUUAUAUAAGUUAUGUAGGUUAUGUAUUAUGUAAGUUAUAUAAGCUGUGUAAGUUAUUAUGUAAGUUAAGAUAUAAUAUAUGUUGAUUAUGUAUCAAGUAAAUUAUGUAAGUUAUGCAUUAUGUAAGUUAUAUAAGUUAUGUAAGUUAUAUAAGCUAUGUAAGUUAUUAUGUAAGUAAUGUAUUAUAUAAGUUAUGUAUUAUGUAAGUUAUGUAUUUAUUUAAGUUAUGUAUGAUAUAAGCUAUGUAAGUUAUUAUGUAAGUUAUGUAUUUAUUUAAGUUAUGUAUUAUGUAAGUUAUUAUGUAAGUUAUAUAAGCUAUGUAAGUUAUGUAUAAUGUAGUUUAUGUAGGUUAUGUAAGUUAUGUAAUGUGUCAAUAUUAAAAACAUUAAUAUAUAAAUUUUAAAUAUAUAUUAUUAAAACUAUAUAUAAAUAUUAAUUAGUUAUGUAAUGUGAGUUAUGAUAUAAUAUGUAUUAAGUUAUGUAUGUAUGUAACUUUUGUAAGUUAUGUGAGUUAUGUCAAUUAUGUAUUAAAUUAAAAUACAAGUUUUGAUAUGAUAUAUUUUUUAGCUUUUAUUAAUUCAAAGAUCAAAAUAAGUUAAAAAUUAGCAAAAAGACUUUGACUUGGCAUUUAUAUUUACAAUUAAUUUGUUUAUAUUUAUCAAAACAACUUUUGUUAUUAAAGAAAUAAUACUUUGAUUUGGCAUUACAAAAUAAAUAUAUUUGGACCAAGUAUAAUAUUUUAAUAGCAUAUAUAGCUUAAAAUUUAGGGUUAAUCUGCCUUUAAUGCUUUUAAUUUAACAACAAUUACUGUCAUUUCACAAAUUGUUUCCGUUGGAAUUUAAGAUUUAAUUUGUUAAAUUAAUUAUUUAAUUAUUAUUUAUAAUGAUUGAUUUUAAAUUAAUUAUUUAAUUAGUAUUUGUUAAAUUGUUUCCGUUGGAAUUGUUUCCGAAAUAGCCAUCACAUUAUCAACUAAAGAAGUCUCAAUGAAAUGUGACCUUAUCUUGUAUAAUGUAAAAAAGAUUUCGAUUUACAUUCACUUGAACAAGGUACAUGGAAAAAGAUGUCUCAACAUUUGAAAUUAUAUUGCAAAGCACACCAUUUAUUGUUGCACCAACAAAAUGUAUAAUUUAAUUUUUACAAGAAUGACAGCUAGGUAUAAUACGUGACAGUCCAUUUGGGUUCUCUUAAAAUAAGCCAUUACCUAUAAGCUCAGCUGUGUCAUUACAUAACAAUGCUCAAAACACUCAUAUUUUACAAUGAACCACUAGCAAUGGCUACUGCUAUCAACAAACAAGCCUCAUCUUUUUUUUAAAACUAGCCCUUCUUUUUUUCUUAACCAUUUACCUAAAGCUUCAUGUUUUUUUAAAAACCACAUCCCCUCAAUUUGCAACUUUUAUCAUAAAGCAAAGCUCAAAUUUAUCAUAAAAUGAUGCUCAAAUUAUGCAAGUUAUGAAAAACGAUAUUGCAUAAUGUAAGAACAAAAAGAAGAAAAAUGAUAUUAUACCUAAUAACUUGUUAUUAGAAUCUAACCGCAGCUUCCAGAGUGGUCAAGUUUUCAAUAUUUGAUGGGCUUUCACCUAAAAAUAUAAAUAAAUUGGUCAAAAUAGCUCCAUUCCAUUACUUUCUGUCCAACCUAAUUCUAAGCUUAUUCUGGCUAAAUUUUAACAACACUAAAUUCACAUGGCAAUUUUAGGUUAAAUUCCAAUUUUAAUCCCUCUGCAGUGUUUAACAUUGAUAUUUAAUAUUUAGUAUAAUUAUUUGCAUUGCUAAAAAAAAAGAAAAACACCGUAAAAUACCGAUUAAAAUACUCUGGCUAUGAUUUUCAUCGAAAGCCAUGAAAUUACUGCCAUGUAAAUGCAACUGAAAAAAAUCGUCAGAAACUAAUGCACAAUACAUACAGAUGCAAGAGGUAUACAUAGCUUAUCUGUUACAUAAUCUACACUUUAAAAGUAAUUAAAUUAAAUUACAACAAUUUAAAAUAUCGUAAUUGGGGCAGGAAGAAGAAGAAGCAAGUACGGACGGAGAUUGUUGCAGCAGAGGAUAUCACGAAAACUUACCGAUUGUUGCGGCAGAGGAGACCAACGGAGGGAGACGAUGAUGCGCCAAAGGAAACAGCAACGUUGCAAGAGGUCGAGUUUGGGGAAAUGUGGAUUAGGGGAAAUUUUAGGGAUUUCGGGGAGAAAUGGAUUUUGGGGGAUAAGUCACGAUAGUUGAGGUUUAAGUUUCGGUCAAAUGUAUGGGGCAGAGGAGACCGACGGAGGGAGACGGUGAUGCGCCAGAGGAAACGGCAACAUUGCAAGAGGUCGGGUUUGGGGAAAUCUGGAUUAGGGGAAAUUUAGAGAUUUUGGGGAGAAUGGGAUUUUGGGGGACAAGUCACGAUAGGGGUUUAAGUUUCGGUAAAAUGUAUGGGAAAAAAAUGACGACGUUUUUUUAUGAAAAUGAAAUCAUUUGUGGCACUUAUCAGUAAGCGCUACUAAUAUCAGUACAAAACGUAGUCGUUUAACACACAUUAGAGUAAAACUUGUGGUGCUUAGAGUAAAAACGCCACUAAUAACACGGACAAAACGACACCGUUAUAAGAUAACAUUCAACAUCUUUGCGGCGCUUUAGCUAAAGCGCCACUAAUAAAAAUAGGAAACGGCGCCGUUUCCUCAACUCGUAAUAAAUAUUUCUGGCGUUUUUAAAAUGCACCACUAAAAGAAAACAAAAAAAUGUCACCGUCUUUGUUCACUUAAAGGAAAUUUGCGGCGUUUAUUCGCAAAACGCCGGUAAUACAUCACCUUUAGCGGCGUUUUUAAAAUGCACCACUAAAAGAAAACAACAAAACGACACCGUCUUUGUUACAGUUAAAGGAAAUUUGCGGCGUUUCUUCACAAAACGCCGGUAAUGUAUCACCUUUAGCGGCGUCUUUUCUGAAGCGCCGCUAAUGCCUUCCUCCAAGAUUGAAGUCAAUUUAAUCCAAAAUUAAAACAAAAUUUAUAAAAUGAAAUUAUUAAUUAAUAAAAAAUGAGAGAAUAAUGCAUUUUUAAAAAAUAAAUUCAUGUUCUAAAAAAAAUUUACAUCAAUAUAUUUUUAUAUUGAAUAAAUAUAAAUUUUUAUGUAUGCAAUAUAUAAAUGAAAAAUGAUGUUAAUUAUAUCAAUAAUUGUGUUAAUAUUUUACAAUAUUUAGAUUAAGUUAAAGUUCAUGUAUACAAUUGAACAUUAAACCGUUGUUCAUGUACGCUUUUGGGAUUUAACCCAUUUUGAUAUAUAUAUUUUUUGAAUUAAUAUUUUAUAUUUAUUUUAUUUAGAUUUAUAUUCUAAAAAAUAUAACCCUAAACCUAACAACCAAACCCCAAAAUCCGACCAUGAAUAUACCAUAAACCUUAAAUCAUAAAUCCUAAACCCCAAACUUAAAACUCUAAACUCUAAACCGUAAACCCCAAAUCGUAAUCCUAAACCAUAUUUUUUGGAAUUCGUGUGGCCAAUGUUAGUGUAGUACAAGACAUAUAUUUUAUAUUAUUAUAUCAUAUAUAUAUAAUAUGGCUGUAGUACAAAAUGGCAUGAAUCCGAGUAAAAUCCAAAUGUUCUUCAAAUUCCAAACUAAACCUCAAAACCCUAAACUCAAACCUUAAACCCCAAAUUCAAACUCUAACACAUAAACACUUAACCCAAAUUAAUAAACAAUAUACCAUAAACCUUAAACCCUAAAUCGUAGACAUUAAAUCUUAAAUUUUAAACCCUAAAACCUAAAAUAAAACGAUGGAUUUUGCUCAACACUUUGAUGCGUUGAAACCCUAAUCGUAACCCCUAAAUCCCUUAACCCCUAAAGCAUAACCCCUAACCCUUAAACUUGAAAUCCCAAACCCUAAAUCCAUACCCAAACUACUCCUUAAACUCUAAACCGUGUACUAUAGUGAUAAUUAAUUCAAUAUUUUAAAAUUAAUACUAUCUCUUUUACAAUUAUAUAAGAAAUUAUUUAAUAUAUAAACUCAAAAAAUCAGUAAUGUAUCCAAAAAAAUUUAAAAUUAUUUUAAAUAAUAAUAUUUUAAUAUUUCCAUUUUUAACGAAUAUUUUAAAAUAUUUUAAAUCCCUAAGCAUUAGAGGCGCUUCCCUAAAAACGCCGCUAAAUCCCCAAAAGCUCCGAAAACGGCACAGUUGGACUUAGUUUUUUUGCAGUAUUUUCUCGAAAAUGCCACUAAAGGAAGAAUUAGCGGCGCUUUCUUAAAAAACGCCGCUAAAUCCCCCGAAAGUUCAGAAAAUGGUGCCGUUGGGCUUAGGAUUUAUUGCGGCGCUUUUUUCAAAACGUCGUUAAAGCCCUUAGCAUUAGCGGCGCUUUAGUAAAAAUGCCGCUAAAUCCCCCAAAAGUUCAAAAAACAGUGUCGUUGGGCUUAGGAAUUAUUUCGGCGCUUUUUUCAAAACGCCGCUAAAGCCCUUAGCAUUAGCGGCGCUUUAGUAAAAAUUACGCUAAAUCCCUGAAAGCUCAGAAAACGGUGUCUUGGGCGUAUGUUUUUUUUGCGGCACUUUCUCGAAAACGCCGCUAAAUCCACGAAAGCUCAGAAAACGACGCCGUUGGGCUUAGGUUUUUUACCAGCGCUUACCUAGAAACGCCGCUAAAUCCCAAAAAGCUCAAGAAACGGUGUCGUUUGGCUUAGGAUUAUUAGUGGCGCUUCUUUAAAAACGCUGCUAAAUCCCCAAAAGCUAGGUAAAUGGCGUCGUUGGGCUUUGGUUUUGCGGCGCUUUCUGGAAAAUGCCACUAAUGCUUAUUUUCAGCAGCUUUUUCCGUGAAGCGCCGCUAAUGAUAUAUCUUUAGCGGCGUUUUUCAUCUAAACGCCGCUAAAAUCGCCGCUAAAAGCUUGUUUUGGUGUAGUGUGGCAGCAAAGUAGUGACAAAAUAAAAAUAAUUUUUUUUUUUGAAAAUUUAGGUCGGGUCGGGUUUUGGUCGAAAAAAGCUUACUUGAGGCUCAACCCAUUUUUAAAUGGGCUUUAUUUUUUUUACCCAAACCAAAAUUUUAAGUCUAAAUUUUUGCAUAGUAAAUCAGUGAGAUUAGGAUUGAAAUAUAUGACUUGGCGACACGGUCGUGUAUCAUCUGAUAAUUUCAUUAGUGUGCAAGUUAGUGAGUUACACGAUCUAUGUAACGCCCUAGAAUUGGGUUAGAAUUAUUCAGAUUAGUUGGUUGGAUCUGCGGUUAGGUGGGACUAUUAAGUUGAUUUUUGUGUUUUAGUGCCAAAAUGAAACAUUUGGGUUAGUGGCUAGGUCUUUGAUAGCUUAAACUUUGGUCUAGAGUUUGAGUUCAAGUGUGAACAAUGUGAAAAUUCUCUUUUUAAGUAUUUUUUUAUUUACAAUUUUAACUCCUUAAAAUUUAUGUUAAACCUUUGGAGGGUUUUUGAUAAUUGGAUAUUAAUUAAAUUGUUUUGGAAUUUAUUUUUUUAUAGGAGGAUAAGAAUAAUACAAAUAAAAAAAAUAAAAUUGUUUUUGUAUUUCCACACUUCACUCACUUCCCCAUUUUUUUCCCGCUUUCUCCAUCUUGGCUUUCACGUUUGUUUUCUUUUUGUUGCUAGGAUUUCCUUUCUGUUUUCUUUUCCUUCGUAUCUCAAUCUCAGUCGAAUCGGGAAAACCCACCAUUUUCACACCUUUUUGCUGUCCAUUUCUCUUCCACCACACCAAUACCCAGACCCAGGUUUGCUUUCUUCUAAUUUCCCUUUCGUUUUUUUUUUCCAAUUUCUUCAAUGGGUCUUUAUUGAAUCUCUAGUUCUAGAAAUUGAUCGUUAACUUUGAUGUUUAGUAACUAGUAGAACUUUUCAGUGGUAAUGAUUUGCAAGUGUUUAGUUUAUUUUGGCAUUUUCUAUAUCAUUUUGAUCAUGUUCUUUCUUCUUUUUUCUUAAUUGAUAUUUCUGGCAGAUAUAUUUUAGGGUUUUGUUUUGUCUUGUUGCUUUUUAAUCUUAAUUGGUCUUAAUUAUACUAUAAGAAUUAUUGUGUACAAGUUCUCGAAUUGCAUUGCACCUUUUAACUUUGGGGUUUCAAAUCCCAUGCCCAUUUAUUUAUGUAUUGCUGCUAAUUUUCGGAUUCUGGAUAUUUACCUGCAAUUGAUAUCUAUAAAUAACUCUUAUGUUCCCACUACGAUGAAUGUGACAUGAUCGGAAAACCAUCCGCUGCCAUAAUUUAUAUCCAUGUUCUUAUAUCGUAGAAUUUCUUUCCAGAGUAUUUUUGUUUUCCUAAUCUCCGGAUGUUUGAUGUCUUUUUCCGGCUAUUGCUUCGUUUUCUCGUGUUAUAGAGUAUCGUUUCUCAAAAAAACUUCUUUCUUUCUUUGCUUCACUCAACUUUUGAAAGAAAUAAAAAAUCCAGCUAUUCUUUUUUCUGUUAUAGUAACUUCUUGGAUUGGUAAACAAGACUCUGAAAAAUGGGAUUUUGUUUCAAAGAUGCAGAAUAUUGAUGUAUGUUUUAGGAUCAGCUUCAGUUUUCUUGUUUCUUUCCUUAUUCAUAGAGAAAAAGCUGUGUAUGUAAAUGUUUCUUUUAUGUCGUAUAGAUUUAUCAUUUAUGAGGAGUUAAUGCUGUGUUUGGUGGUGAAAUUAUAGGAGUCACAUAUGCUUUUAUCUUUUAGUAAUUCAGAAAAUGAUAAAAACUUUUUCUUUACUUAAACCUUAGAUUGAUAUACUGAAGAUGUUAUGAGUUCAUAUUGCAAAGUGAAUAACACGUACUUAUGGAUUUGGUAUUGAUUUGGGGGUUUCUCUAUUCUUUGUUGGUUACUCAAACUUGAAGAUUUGUAUGGCUUUGUGGUUGUUUGGAUUUUCAGGUUAAAUUCAGUUUGGGAUAAGGUUGAUUUGUCUUGAAUCUUUUUUAUUUGAUUUAUUAUAGUUCUAUUCAAUAAUUUAUGUGUUUAUGAACUCUUUUAUCUUUAAUUUAUUCCUAGAAAAUGCAGGGAAAAAGCAAGCAAUUAGUUGGAUGAACCAAAUAGGAGUUUCUGUUUUGAUUUAGGUGGGUUUUUACAAAGUUUCUAAGGAGAGUGAACAUUAUACAUACAUACAUAUUAUAUAUUUACAGACACAUAAACAAGCAAUUAUUUUGAGAUAAUCUGUAAAUGGUUGGUUUAUACAUAAGAAAUUUGAUCAACCUUUUUUUUCCCUGAGUAAGGUCGCUCAGAAAAUUGAAUAUAUUGGUGUUGAGCACAUAUUGUUAUUUGAUAUUCACUUCAAUUCUAGGUAAUAUGUUUUAAGUGAUAAGUCAAUAGAUUAGAGGACCAAUUCUAGUUGUGGGGUCUUGAGAUGGGAGCAGGUCAAGCAUGGCAAACCUCUGGUCUGCCACUCUCCUUGCUGUCAACUUAACAUGGUUUGAAGUGUUAGGGUCCAAGGGAACCCCAAAGCGAAAGCAUGAUAAGCACAUAAUAAGUUGUAUACUCAAAUCAGAAUUGUUUUUUUUUUAUCUUUUAUUACAUUUGGGGCAACUUAAAGUUUUAAUUCUUUUUCCGUAGUUUAAAUUUGGGCAUUUUGGUUGGUUGAUUACAUUUCGCAAGUUGUUUUUGGUGCAGUUUCACUGUCCUUUUUAAUGUUGUUUCACUGCUGCUUUUAAUGUUGUUCCGCUGCCGCUUUUAAUAUUGUUUGGAUAUUGUAAAAUCUUUAUUCUAUUUUUUUAUCUCUUGACAAUCUCAAACUAUAUGAAUUAGUGUUUGAUUCUUUAUAAAAUAUAAAACAUGAAAUCAUAUUUAGACAUUGUAAUGUGUCGGUAAUGAGUUGUAACAGUCUAUUGCAAUUUACUUUAGCAACCACCGUGUUUAGACUUUUUUUACUUUAGCAGUUUCCUUGUCUGCUAAUUUUUGAAAUGGAGAUGAUAUUGUGGGAGUUUUUUGGCUAUAGGAUGUUCCCAUGGUUAAUUCUUCAUUUGAUCAUUGUCUCCUUUAUUAAUUUAAUUUUUAUUUUUGGUUUGUAACAGCUAUGGCGGAACCAGAUUGUGCGAUUAUAGACCAGGAUAAUCGUGUGUAUUAUGGAGUGGUUAAGAUUUCGGGAAAAGAAAUUAGCUCCACUCUCUUGCCGUUUAAAGAUGAAGAGAAAGCUUUGGAACUGUACACACAUUUAGUGGCGCAUCAAGAUGAUUGGAUUUUAUGCUGCCAUCAUCUUGUACGGUAUCAAGAUAAAUGGCUGGUUGUAUUAGAAUAUUCUAAAAAUAUUGUAGCAUAUUUUAGAGAAAGAAUGAAAGGGUGGGAAAGUAGUAACCGAAAUGAGAGUGAAUGGUUCAAUUAUAUUAGUGAGGAUUUUGGUAGGAUCUUAAGGGAUGUGGCUCGUAUAUGGGCUAAAAGUAAUAAGUGCAUUUACACGCAAGAUCCGAUAAAGUCUAUAUUCAUCACUAAUUUCGGUGGGAGGGUAAAGUUUUUACCCAAUUUAAAUGCAUCUGACCAACCAAUCGAAGGUGAUAUUGAUCAGUUAAAAUAUUUGAUGAACUACAUCGUCAAUAUGCCAUUCGGAUCUGUUAUUCAAAAUUAUCAGAAAUUCAAUAUGCCGAAUGAACUAUCAUGUUUUCUUACUGAGCUCAAUUUUCAACACUUGUAAGUUAUCUUUCACAUAUUUACUUUUACUUUAAAGUUCGAUAACUCAUAUGGUCUAUUCAUUAAUUUCAUAAUCUUUUUGUUUACUUAUUUGCCUAUGUCUAAAUGGAGAGGAAAUACAUGAGUCCUGCAUUUCUACUGGAUGUGCCUUUAUUUUGGAGACUUGUUGAUAAGUUCCAUUUUAUUAUAAAUCUGGAUCACAUGCUGAAGCGCAGAGAGAUUAAGUGGCAACAGCUUGAGAAAUGCCUAAAGAACUUGCGAAAGAAAUAUUUAUAUGAUUGGGUGUUGGCGGUGAACUGUGAUCCAGUGUUUAAAUCUAUAUACCAGCAUGGAAAAUCUAGUUUCCCAAACAAUGCCUAUUCCUCUGCUCCCUAUGUCUCUGUAGUACGAUGCUGCUCUAAUGUUUACCGUCUUUACAACGACUAUGCAACACAAAAAGUAAGAUUUCAAUAUUUUUUAUUAUGAUAUUCUAUUUAUCUUUGUUAUUAACUUUAACUUAAAUUGUUUAUUUUAUAGAUUAGCAUCAUUAACAUUGAGAAUAAGUUGAGUAGGCUAUUGCCAAAACUGUAUCUUCAUCUAUUUUAAGGUUUAAUCGAUUAUGCCAACAGAAAUAAUAACAGGUAAGGAAUAUAGAAAAAUUAUAUUAUCAUUGUAAAAUUGUUUUUUCAAUUCAUAUUAAAUGAAUAUUGUUAUUUUAAUGUUUUGAUAUAGGGAGCCAGUUUUUUCGAAAUCAAUUAUUUCUGAAGAUAUAUGAAGGGUAAGCAAGUUGGUUUUCUCUUUAUAUAUAUUUAAAAACUGUCACACCUCAAAGUCAGGACUAGAAGUAGGAAAAAGAAAAGAAUAAAAAAAUCACGUGAUUAGAGGAAGAAAAGAAAUACUGAGUUUAGAAAAUACGGGUUAGAGAGUAGUAACUAGAACUUCGAAUUAGCUUAGGUGAGAUUAGAAUUGAAAUCAAGGAUCAAACUAAAGCAAAUUACUUUAAUUGAAAUCGAGAAAUUCAAGUUCUUAAAACAUGUCUCUAGAAAUUAGACUAUGUUCAAAAAUUUAAUUUCAUGCAUGUCAAUAAUAUAUAUAAUCUUCUUACUUAUUUGUUUAUUCAAUUUUAUUAUGUUUAUAAUUGAAUUUAAAUUAUGUUAGUACUAUUGAGUAUAUAUUACUCAGCGUACAGUUAUAAUUAUUUUUAUGCGUAGGUAUCGGAUGGGAGCUUUAGUAAAUACAUGGUCAAGCAUCCAUUUUCUCCAGCUCAACUCGAAAGUCAUUUCGUUGCUAUUUUGUAUGUUGAGUCUUACGGUAUGUAACUUGGCUAGUAAACUUGUUACUUGAGUAAUUUUAGGUGGUUAUGAUGAUGUAAACGAUGUUUUCCAAUUAGAUUGGAAGGAGCUUGAACGUGGGUGGAGAAAAACUACUUCUAUGUUGUUCCCUCGGGCUUUUCCCCUGGUUUUUGCUGUAGAAAGAGAGAUUUACGUCUUCGAACAAUUGGGUUUUGAAUAUUUUGGCGAGGGAACCAUUGUCGCCCCCUCCGGAAGCUAUUGCUCUAAGUAAUCCUGGUCUAGAUUCUUCCCGAUCUCGGAUUUUGGUGCACUGCCAUGUCAAUAAUUCUCUUUACGCUUAUUACUAAGAUCGUAAACAUGGGUUUGCCUCGAACAAAAAUUUUGUUACUGGUCUGACUUAGCGUCAAUUCUUGGACUAUGUGCUAUAGACUGUCAUGUAUAAUUAUUCUGGUGAGUUCUGUUCUUUGGAGGCGUAUAAUAUGCUUGAUAAGAAACAUUUUCCCGUCAAAUGGUCAUCAGAGUUUUCAAUGGAUCCACCAAGGAGUGGCACUCUGUUUCGUUUGGGCAAUGGCGAGUGUAUUUCGGGCUGGGUGAACCAUAUCGAUAUGAGUUUUGAGUACAUAAGAUUUAAUAUGUGGUGCAACGAGCAGGGAGGGAUUCAUGCAGCUGCAGAGCAUCAAUCUGCCAUCACUGUUCCAUAUCAAUCCAAAGAUAUUUGUGAUAUAUUUUUGUUCUGAAUGAAGGUUAAAGCCCCCUUCAUUUCACUAUUACAUCAUGGUUAUUCAUUUGCCAAUGCUGCUUGCCAUUACAUUUGGUUUGCUCUAAAUAAAGGUUAGUGCCCCCUUCACAUCACUACCACAUCUUAAUUAUUCCCAUCCCUGUAAAUUGACGGAUUUUUCAUUUGUCGAUACUGCUUGUCAAUGCAUUUUGUUUGCUCUUGUUGUUGCCAAGAAGUUGAUAGUGAGCCUUGAACUUCCUGUAUAAAACUUGAGUAAUGCUAAGGUACGGAGUAGACGAAUCAGGUGUCGUAUUUGUAUUGUGUGAAAAUGUCUUCCUUUUUCCAAGACUCAGUUUUAUUACGACUAUGCGUCGUGCUCUAUUUGUUGUUUUAAAUGGGUACGAGGCUCCUAGCACCUUUAGAGAACUAGAACUCAAGUUCUGUCUUUGCCUUACCCCCAAUAGUUGCUUCUAGUUUUUUGUUCCAAAAAGAAAAUAAAAUUUCUUGAUGUAAACAAAGGCUUAAAUUCCCGAUGAAGUACUUAGGCUGAAUUUGAUUUGAGAUAGUGCAUGUUAUUACUAAGUGAGCUAUUAGCUUGUUGAAACCAGUAAGAGAGUGGACAAAAUAUUACUUAAGAAUAUAACUCUAACAAAUGGGAAUUACUUAGUCCUACAACUAGAGAAUUUGAAGUAGAGAAAAAGUAAUUAGUAGGGGCCAAAAAUAUUUUGCCAUCCUAUUUUCGGUUUUGUAUCGUUUGUUUUCUUGGAAAGUAAGAAGGUUUGGGAGCGAUAAUUAUAUAUGUAUUGUUUUUUCCUCGUUUCUUUGAUUUCGACUGAUGAAGCUCCAACACGUAAGAAGUCAAAAAUGAAAAUGGUAUGAAUUACAUAUGAAGAUGAAUGCUGUAGACUGCAGAUGUAUAUCUGAAAAACCAUUAAUAGAUUAUGGAGAUCGUUUCUCCGAUGUGUUUGUUUUGUUGGUAGUUGUGAGUUAUAAUAAUAAUAAUAAUAAUAAUAAUAAUAAUAAUAAUAAUAAUAAUUUUACUCACUUUUCAUUGCUGUAAAAGGUCAUGGAAGCUUUUAUUAUUAUUUACAACAAUGUUGAUUUUUAGGGCUCAUUUGGUGCAUGUUGAUGUGGUCUGCUGAUGGAUAUGUGUGUAUAUAUUUUUAAUUAUUAAUUUUAUGGAUCAGAAUGAUUAUAUUAUAUAUCAAUAAAAAAUAUACUUUAAUUUUGGCUAAAGGGUAAAAAAAGCCCCCAGACUUUUUCAAAAAAUUAAUUAAGCUCCUUGAAUUUUUUUGUUUUCACUCAAUUGAGCCCUUGAACAUUUGAAUUACAAUCAAUCAAUCAAGCCCUUUAACUCUUUUCAAUUUUCGCUGCAAUGUUAUAAAAUUAUAUUCUUAUUCUGAGAUUUUUUUCCCUCCCUUUUAGGUCUCAGCUGGAACGUGUUGGUGCAUGGAGUUGAGUCAAGACCCAUGUUGAUGGUGAAGAGAGACUUUGAAGAUGCCGUCAAUUAUUUUGGUUAAAACUUUGAAGUUGUUGAUGUAAUUGGGUGCUUCCUUUUUGGAUACCCAAAUAUUGACAAAGUUAAAACUAUAUAGUAUUGUGAUUUUGCACUUUAUUCAGUUCUUUUAAGGCCAUCUCUCUUGCCCUUCAAAUAGCACCCAUUAAGUGGUUUGAAUUAUUAUUUUUUUAAACUAAAUAAAUGUAUUUGAAAAUUAAAUUAAACAUUCGUGGUCAGAGGU